Molecule: long non-coding RNA, 74985 nt
Filed under: Capsella rubella
Lineage: Eukaryota; Viridiplantae; Streptophyta; Magnoliopsida; Brassicales; Brassicaceae
Description: long non-coding RNA (CRUB_LNC002097)
Rfam family: MIR9560 microRNA precursor family (bases 57304-57402)
Source: RNAcentral
UAGAUUUAAAUGAUUUUUCUAGGUGAAUUAUAUCAAUGUAUAUAUAUAUUUCAUGUGGUGAUUUUAACAGUGCAAAAAUUAUAAACUCCAAGAUUGAAACGUUUCGUUAGCUCCCUAAUUUGCGUUUGUGUUAAUCUUCUUAUGUUGUGAAAUUUACAAUUAACUACAACUUUAAACUUAAAAAAAAAAAAAAAAAAAUUAUGACUCAUUUAAUUUCUCUUGUUAAUAUGUGAAUUAAAGACACAUCUUUACACCCACCCUCCAAAAAAAAAAAUGAACACUUUCACAAUAAUUUCAAGUGUACAAAAUCAUAAAAGAAUGUUAAAAAGAAAAAUAAAAAAAACUCAAAGAAUAUUUUUCUAAAAAAGAUGAAAAAUAAAUAAAUAUAAAAGUAUGUUUAACAAAGACAUGAUAUAAUAUUAAUGUUUAACAAAGACAUAUAGUAAUAAAUUAUGAAAUAGUUGCGUAUAGUGAUUGGUGAGUGAAUGAAAUGGCUCGAUCAUAUGGAUAUAUAUGAUCAUCAUUAUAUCAUAUCAAAAUGUAAUUAACCUUUUAGUUUUGACUAUUCGGCCUCUUCCUUUAGCUUCCUUACGGUUUUCCUCGAAAUUUGAAGGAAACUUUCUCCUUAUUAUAAAACAAAAAGAACAAAUUAUUUCUUUUUAACGCCAAUUUCUUCUAAUAUCCAUCUAGAAAUAGAGAAUAGUAAAAGAUAACUUAUAAUUCUUAGCAAAACAAUUAGUAAAACCAAUUUCUUUUCCAUAUAUAAAGCCAUCUAUAAAACUAUAUAUAUCAUAUGUGACCGUAGAUAUAAAUGUCAAUUGUGCAAAGGCACCAGGGACUGAUCAUAUAUCCGCACUAGUCACUACUAUGUCUACAUGGUUGAUUUAAUCAGACGAAAUUAAUUAGGUGACAUGCUACUAAUACUAAUCUUCGAGUUUUAAGACAUGAAAGAGACCAAAUUAAAAAGGAUAAUAAUGGUGGGGAUUUGCUUGGCUGCAGUGCAACCAUAUCUGGAUUGGGAAAUCACACUUUGUAUCAUCAUCAGCUCAACAACACUCGGACAAGCUUAGCCAAGCUUAGUUCAGUGUUCUAAACAACAAUUUAUUUUGCUAUAUGGCAGGAGAGAAACGAACAAAGACAUGGAACAACUCAAUGUUUGGUUAGCAACUCAAUGUUUGGUUAGCCAUCUGACGAUGGCUAAAUUUGAUGAAACAAUUCGAUAUAUAGUCUGUGGUAUCACUACGUUAUCAAGACUCACCAAGAUUGAGACACCUUCUCCAACGAUGGUUUCAAAAUUAGGAAUCCAAUAAUUUUUUUUUUUUUUGAAUUAAUUCUAUUUUCUUAAUGACUUUUUGGCAUUGUACAUAUACAUUUUAUCUUAACACUUUACAAAUAAAAUAAUUACAAAGGUAUCUAUCAAAACAUUUAUCCUUUUGUGUGCUUGUGAUUAUGUUCUUAGGUUGUAAAAUUAAUUUACAACCUAACUAAUUAAACUAUAUAUAUAGACUUAUACAUGUUCUUAUGCUAUGCAGUUAAAAGACACAAGCACACCCACCCUCCAAAUAGAAAAAAUGUAUGAAAAAAACAGAAACACAAACAAAGUUAUAUAGUAUUACUUUUUAUGUUUCACAAAUAGUGUCACUUUGACACAUUUCACACAAAUUAAAACAAAAAAAUAUAUACAUACAUGUCCCUAUUUAAUAAAUGUUUAAUAAUUUACUUAGUUUUAAAUUAAGGAUGAAAUUAGAAAAUUUAGUAUUACAAAUGUAAAAUGACACUCUUUGUAAAGCAAAAUUAAAUCUUUAAAAUAAUGUUUUUUGUGAAACAUAAAGAGUAAAAUAUAUGAAAGAGUUGCGUAUAGUGAUUGGUUAAUGAAAUGGCUCAAACUUAAUUAGAUAACGAUCAUCAUCAUAUAUCAAUCAACAUUUAGUUUGACUAUUUGGCCUCUCUUAGUUUCCUUAGGUUUUCCUCGAAUUUGUAAAGGAAACUUUCUCUUUAAUAUAAAACCAACAAAGUAUUUAUUUUCAUAGCCAUCUAGAAAACAUAUCUCUCAUAUGUGACCGCCGAUAUAUGUCAAAUUGUCAACUGUGCAGAGGGACUGAUCAUGUCCGCACUACUCUAUGGUACACUUCUAUCUAUCUAGCUGAUUAGUUAUACUAUUGUAUACUUCAUGAUUAUCAUAAUGAUUAGUUAAAAUGAAGCUGAUUAGUUAUAGUAUUGUAUACUUCAUGAUUAUCAUAAUGAUUAUUUUGAAUGAAGCUGAUUCAUAUUAAGUAGGUGACAUGCUACUACUAAUCUGGAGUUUUAAAAACAUACCAAAAAGAACAAAAUAGGCUAACGACAACCCAACCCUAAAGCUAGUAUACAUAGUUCGAUACAUUAAAAAACUAAAGAUGGUUGUUAUAAACGGUUUUACAAAUUGUUAACCCAAGGAUUAAUUCUUAUAAAAAAAAAAUCAUAUUAACGUUUGUGUAUCUUUGAUUUAAAAUAUGUUUGUAUUAUUCAAUUACCUUGUUAUCCUAUCUAGUUACAAUUUGUAAAAUUGAGCCAUGCAUGCAUAUAUAUUAUAUCAAAUGAAUCAAUUGAUAAAAGACAAAAUAAAGGAAUGUGUGUUGCUAAGUUCAUGAACCAGAAUCAGAAUUUCGAAGAUUAGCCCUCUCUUCCAACCGGUCAGUCAAGAAAAAAGAAAUCUUAAAUACCGUGAAACCUCUAUAAAUUAAUAAUAUUAAGAUUAUAGAAUUUAUAAAUAUAUUAAUUUAUUGAUUAAUUAAUUUACAAAGAGAUUUUUUCUAAUCCUAUAAUUUCGUUUUAAAUUUUUCUAUUUGACAAUACAAAGGUUUUAUAUUCCAAAAUUUUCAAGAAUUUUUAUUUAUCUAGAAUUAAUUCUAGGUUAUAAUUAUAAUCGACAUAUUGUUGACGAUAAUAUUGGAUGCUCUUAGAACUAGUUACACGUAAAGAACCAACUGUCACGUCUAAAGUCUUUCAUAAUUUUUUGGAUGUAAUUCGAGAAAACAACACUAGAAGUCCAAAAGUUUGAAUGCAAACUCAAUAACAAGCCUAAUUCGAGAUCAGUAGCAAAAAUAUUUAUUUUAUCAAGUAUUACUUUAUAUAGUGCUAUAUUUUUACAAAAUCGAAGAAAAGGUUUCAAACCCUUAAAAUAUUUUUUUCUAACUGAAAAGUGAAAACUUACCCCAAAUAUAGUACUUCUUCUCUUAAGUUAUAACUUGAAUUAUAUAAUUUUAUUUAUUUUUGGUUAUAACGGUUAACAAAAACAUGUUAUUUUUAAUUUCUAUACAUACUGGGCCAAAAAAAAAAUCGACGUGUAGACUUCUUCUUGUUGAAAUAUACAUAUACACUAAUAUACCAAUUUAUUACAUACAUAUAUAAAGAAUAUAUUUGUCGUUUCAGUUUGUGUCGUUUUAUUUGGUUAUAGACAUUGUCCAUCAGCAUAAACGCGUCGAUGUAGAAAAAUAAAACAUGUUACAAUUAUUAUUCUCCGAUCUUGAAAAACAUUGAAAUGUUUAUGUUGAAUGUUUUUUUUUUUGUAAUUGUUAAAUAUUCAUGUUGAGUGUAAUUGUAUAUUUAAUCAUAAAUUAAUAACUGAAAAAACGCGUUACGGCAUUACCAAAUAAGCGUUGCUUUUUUGAGGUAGUCGUUGACGAGCUCAAGCCAUGUCAACGCUUAUGUCAACGCCCUCAUUUGUCUUGUUUUAUAAAAUUUCCAAAAUGUAAAAUAUUUUUCAAUAUUCUUUAGUUCAGGUAAAAGAGUUUUACUUCUCUAUAGUUUUUGUAGUUUUUACUUGUUCAUUUUUGUUUCUUCUAUAUUUUAGAUGUUACGAACGAAACUUUUGUAACCAAUAUCAUAAAUUGGUUUUAUCUCUUAUAUACUAUAUCGAUUUGAAUCAAAUCACUACGAGAAAACAAAUCGAUUUGCGAAGAAUAAUUGAGAGGGAACAAAUCGAUUGUAUUCUUGUGAUUAAUCAUGCAUGAGUACAAUUUGGUCAUGCAACGGUAGAACAAUAAGCUAGAUGAGUUGAGUAUUAUCUUGGAUCUAGUUAAUGAUUGAUAAACUGACAAAAGCAUUUUCAUAAAAGUAAUGAUAAUUCUAAAACGCGUAGAUUGUAUAACAUUUAAUUUCGAUUCAAUUCUUGUAACAUUAAUGCUGCUGGCUCUAUAUCUGACCACAAACUGAACAAGUGAGACAGUUCGGUGUUUUUCUUAAAAUUAGCAUAAUCAAUGAUCGAGAUCAUUUAAUAUCUUAAAAUUAGCAAAAACGUUUGAGAAGUGAUAUUUUUGUGUAAGUCUAUGAAUCUCAAUGGUUAUGGUGGUUGGGGGUCUACAAACCCGUUGAUGGUUUAGUUUAUUUUAUUUUUAUAUUAGAAUGGUUAUGACGGUUAAAUUCAUCAAUGAUUUAAUUUAUUUUAUUUUUAAGACGGAUAUUAAAUGGAUGCAAAACAAUUAUUUUUGUACGUAAAAGUAGUUUGUAACUGGUCUGCAACAAUUUUCUUUUGUUUUUUAGAGUCGCACCACUACAGAUGGUGAUUGGUAAAUAAAAAGCAAUUUGGUCUUUAGAUGGUUAUGUCCACCCAAACUGAUGUAACUAUAGGUUCGAAUUGUUAUGACGGUUGGGAUAAACAAAUAUAUUAACAAUUUAGUUUACUUUAUUUUAGGACGGAUAACAAACAACCGCAAAUCAACUAUAUUUGUAUGUAAUCAUGAUGUGUAAUUAAUCUGCAACCAUUAUAAAUAAAAUUUGUGAAUAUAAUAAAAUAAAAAAUGGUUCAAUCGACAAACGGAUGUGUCUAUUACAACUAUUCGAACCCUAUAUCCUAAUUCAAGAUAGUUACAAUAAGUAGGAUAAAAAAAAAAUAGUAAAUAAAAUUAGAAAUGAAAACGGUAUAACCUAAAUACCAUAACUAUACGGAAUUACUAAUCCAAUUUUUAUACAAUUUCUUAAGUUGCAAAACAAAACUAAUAAAAACUGUACAUACUCGAUCCCACUAAUUGUAGUAUUAUACAAUUUCUUAAUUUACAAUUUCUUAAGUUGCAAAAUAAAACAUAAAAUUAAAAAUACUCGUUGCCACUAAACCUAUAUUGUAUCCGACUUUUUCCAAUACGAGAGGAAGCUGAAGUAAAUAAAUACAGGUUUAAUUAGUGGGAUCGAGUAUAUAUACUUUAUUCUACAUUGUUAGUUGUACGAAAUGAUCCAAACACAUGAAUUAAAUAACGAAUCAUAUAAGACACUAGCUAGUACACAAGUACUCUUAAUUUUGUCCAAAAAGCACAAGUGUCUUUUUUUCUUAAUUUUAAUUAAUUAACUAAAUAACUAACUCUAACGUGGUUAAUGAAUAGAGAACACUUUGUAAAACAACGAAUCUUCCUGGAAACUACGAAGCUACUUCGUCAAUACUCUCAUGCCUUUAUAUACAUUUCAUCAUUCACUCCUUCUUAACCUCAUCUUUCUCUUUAUCUCUCUAUCUCUCUCUCUCUCUCUCUACACCCACACACAAAGAGUUCAAAGACGACUUAUAAAGUUCCAAAAAGUCUUUGAAUCUGAAAUAUCCAAAUGAAGAUUCGAAACAACCCUAUGUUCCAUGGUGGUGGUGGUUACACUGGCUUAAGAGCUCGUAACUUAACAUUCAAGAAGUGAGCAUAGUUCUUACCCGAACAUAACCCUUAUUUGUUUUCGGACAAGGUUUCUAAUUUUUUCUCAUUGUUAAACCACAGAGUUGUGAAGCAAGUGAUGAGAGAUCAGUCACAGAAUCAUUUCAUGAUUCAUAUGGAGAACAUGAUGAGAAGAAUUGUAAGUUUUUUCCUUCUAAUCCUAUAUGUCUAAUCAACAAAAAAUUCUAUACAUGCUUAAUUAAACCAUCUAAUUAGCAAACGGAUUAGUUAAACCACAACAUGUUCCUAAUUAUAUAUAUAGGCUAUGUAAGCCACCAAGUUUGACCGACUACUUCUCUUCUGUCUUUGUUUUAUAUAUUUGUGGGUUCCUCAAUCAACAAUGGUCCCUAGCUUAUUCUAGUCACUAUAGUCUAUAGUUAUAUGUAUAUAUCACAUAUACAACAAAAUCAUGUAAUCACAUGCGUUUUUAAAAAUAAAAGAAAUUGGUAAAACACUAUAUAUAUAUAUAUAUAUAUAUUACGUAUGAUGAAAUAGAAAAAACGAAUAUUUUAAAAUUUCUAUAUACAAAUAUUUUCUUUUAGUAAAAAUAAUUUCUAUAUUGUAAAAUUUCUAAAUGAAAUAAUUUUAUUUGUAUCGUUUUGUUUUUACCACGUAGUAGUUUAUGUCACUAGCUAGACCAUAUAUUAAAUUUUUGCUCAAAAUAUAUACGCAAAUUAGUGAAUUUUUUUUUUCUCAACUCUUUUUGGAUUAUUAGGUUCGAGAGGAGACAAGUCGUAUCCUUCAACCUUUUCUCACAUCAUCAUGUUUCUCAAUGGAGCUACCACGUUCUGAAACGCCAUCUUCGCGUCCAAGAUUCAUGCUGCGGUUCCUAAACUCACCGCCCUCAUCUAUAUUCACGGGGUCCAAGAUCGAAGCUGAGGACGGUUCUCCACUAAAGAUCGAGCUCGUGGACAUAACCACGAACACUCGAGUCACUUCAGGACCGUUCUCGUCUUCUCGAGUCGAGCUCGUGCCUUUGAACGCUGACUUCACUGAAGAAAGCUGGAACGUUGAAGGAUUCAAACGCAAUAUUCUCAAGCAACGUGAAGGGAAACGACCACUACUCACCGGAGAUUUAACUGUGAUGCUUAAAGAUGGUUUUGGAGUUAUCGUCGGAGAUAUCUCUUUCUCUGAUAAUUCGAGUUGGACAAGGAGUAGGAAGUUCCGGUUAGGUGCUAGGUUGACCGGAGAUGGAGCCGUGGAGGCGAGAAGUGAAGCUUUUGGAUGUAGAGACCAACGAGGAGAAUGUAAGUAGCGUUUUGUUUUGUCAGCGGUUGCAAUAGCGGUUUAAACGUUUAGGAUUGAAUUACUAAUCGUUUUUUUUCUUCUUUUGCUUAUGCAGCUUACAAAAAACAUCAUCCUCCUUACCCUUGUGACAAUGUUUGGAGACUAGAAAAAAUCGCGAAAGACGGCGUUUCGGCUAUGCGUUUGGCUGAAAACGGAAUUAAAACCGUUCAGGACUUUCGCUGUUGCUAUACCGUGGAUCCAAAUGGGUUAUACAACGUAAGAUUAUAAAACUUAAUACCUAUAUAUAAAGUGGUAUACUAAAUUGGCAAAGAUCUCUGGCAAAAGCUUGGGACAAUACCAUAUAACAUGCUCUGGUUUCGGGCUUGAGAAGAUGUAUGGGGUUCGGAAUUAUUCAAAAAAAAAGUAUAAAGUCUUAUAACAAUGACAAAAGUUUGAUUAGUUUUUUUUUUUUCUUAACAGAUACUUUGUGGAAGCAUCUCAAAGAAAACAUGGAAAGCAAUUGUAUCACACGCAAUGGAUUGCGUUCUGGACGAAACAGAGUGUUACAUUUACGACACAAACGUUCAUGGCGUUUCUCUUCUCUUCAACUCUGUUUAUGAACUUAUUCAAGUCUCACUCAGUGGCGGCGAUUUCCAAAACGUCGAUCAGCUAACCAGUUAUCAAUCAUUUUUGGACCAACUCAAGAUUGAAGCUUACCAAAACCUUAACCGCAUGAGAUUGGUAAGGGAUAGGACCUUUGCGAGUCAUCCGCAAAGGUCCUUACAGUGCCAGCAAGGUCCUGAAUUUGGCAUAACAUGUUCUGGAUCACAACAAAUAGACUUUCAAGGUAUACAAUCUUAUAAUGGUUAUGAUCUUAUAAGUCUUUUUGAUAUAUCUCUAAGUUAAAAGUUACUAUAUAUAGACUAAUCAAGUAAUUAUGUAAUGUUCCUUAUUUAGGAAGUUUGGAUCCAUCAAGCUCUUCAAUGUCUGCAAGAUCAACGGUCCACCCUGAUAUGCUGAUGAAUUUUGAUAACUCAUCAACCGCGACGUUUCAUAUCGAAAAGAAAUUCGUACCGGGUUUUCGAAACAGCUUCAAAGUAAGUGAAGUCGACUUAGUACAAGGCAAAUCACAAACUGUAGUGACAAAAGGUCGUAUGGAGAACGACGAGGAGGAUGAGAAUGCGUUUGAUUGUCAUCAACAUUAUGACAUGAUGACCUCGAACUGGUCACCUGGUACGCAUCAAGAAAUGGAUACGAUGUGUUUUACCUUGUCGGGGACAGAAGAAGCUGGAAUGUUUGAUCUUCGUUUUGAAAACGUUAAUUUGGGAUCUCCGAGAGCUAGGUGGUGUAAAGUUAAAGCAGCUUUCAAGGUUAAGGCAGCUUUUAAGGAAGCCCGGAGACACACAACUGCUAGAAACCGAGGUAAGGCGUGUAAGAAGCCUUGCCUGCCGUAUUAGAUUGAAAGGUUUCUUGCGAUACACGAAAGAUGUGUACAUGUUUGUGAAUAAGGUUAGGUUUAUGGAUCCCGACCAAAAUGAGUUAUGGGGAUUAGGUUUUGUGUAUAUCAUGUUUAAUAUUUCCUUUUUCCCAAAAUGGGUUUUAUAAUGAUAUGACUAAAUAGAUUUUUAUAAAUAUUUGAAGUUUUUUUCCCCCUGAAUUAUUGUAGCUCAGGGCGUUUGGUUUGUAAGUUGUAAUAAGUUGUAACCUUUUUAUAUGCCGUAUAAGAAUCAGCUGUUUCUUGCAGUACACGAAAGAUAUAAGGAUAUGUAUAUAUGUUUAUUUGCUUCAUUUGAUAGAGUAUACCAUACUUUUUAAUACUCCAACAAAGUCUAGAACCAUGUUAUCAUUUUGGGUAUGCUAAGAAAAUUUACAUAACAUUAUUCCAUAGUGCUUUGUCACGUUAAAUAAUGGUGUACUUUUUUGCUUUUUUCCUUGAAUUGAUUUAGGAAGAAGACUACUAGCUUCUUAAUCAUAAAAUAAUGUCUAUGAGUUAGUGAAAACAUUAGUGGCUUUUGAUUUAUUCCUUUUUCUUCCUCUGUCUUCAUGUGAACAUGUUUGCAGAAAUAUGUGGUUUCUUUUACUUUCUUUUGUCUAAUACACAAAUAUAAUUGUUUAGAACAAAAAAAAGGGAAACCAUAGAACCCGGUCGUGCGUAUUCCACACCCGACAAUGAUUUGGAAGAUGUUUUGUCUUGUGUUAUCAAUCUACCAAAAGUUUCAUAAUCAUUGUUCAUCUAAAGAGCGGCCGAGGAUAGCUUUUGUCUUCUUACAAUACUCACUUUGGUUUGAGAGGUUUUUUUUAAAGAGCCCUUAAGCCUUUCUUGAUUACAUAUAUAUACUACAAAAGCAGGAAGUAGGGGUUGCAAUAGUUUCUUAAUAUCAAUCAUAUAUAUAGGAGUUAUUUGGAGAAGUGAAGAGUUCUUGAUCACUACUGUUGUGUUAUAAAAGGAUCUUUAGAAAAAAGGUUUGUUCUUUUCUUAUGGAUCCAAGAGUACAGAUACGAUCUCGUUCAUCCACGUAUGUGUCAGGGAGAAUGGAAGAAGAGAAGAAGAUAACUAGGUGUUGUAAUGAUUGCAAAACCACCAAGACACCAAUGUGGAGAGGUGGACCAACUGGUCCUAAGGUAUCUUCUUCUACCUUUAAGCAUUAUACUCUUAACUUUGUUUGAUCUUAAGAUGAUUUCAACAAGUGUUAUUAAGUUGUUAAGUUUCGGUUUGUGGUGGGAUUUUGCAGUCACUUUGCAAUGCAUGUGGAAUCAGAUUCAGGAAACAGAGACGAUCAGAGUUAUUGGGUAUUCAUAUUAUUCACAGACACAAAACCUUAAACUCCAAAAAAUUAAAUCCAAAAACUUCAUCAUUGUCAUCACACGGUGGCGUGGCUGUGAAGAAACGUAGGAGGAGUCUAAAGGAAGAAGAACAAGCUGCUUUGUGUCUACUAUUAUUGUCUUGUAGCUCUGUUUUUGCCUGAGAGAAAGAAAAAACAGAGCAUGUCUCGCUGAAACACACUGUUUUGUAACUUUUGUCCUCUGUUUUGUUGACCUUCUAUAUUCAUGUUGGGCCUAACUUUGUGUCAAAAUUCUGAUCCGUAGAGAUCAUAAGGUCUCAAAAUGUAUUUGAAAUAGAUUGGAGCAUUUUGGUGUGGGCUUUGUGAUACCAUAUCUUCUUCGUUUAGGGUUUGAACUUUGAAGCUUGUAACCAGGAAGCAAACUUAUGAACCGAGCUUAAUUUAAACCCAAAAUGGGUUAAAAACCUCUAUUGUCCAUCUAAAGUGACAAAAGCAUCCUUUAAUAGUCGUUGUGCUUCUUCUCUCCUCCUGCACAUAACCAAAAACAAACCUACUUAACAACAAGUUUUUGAAGACCUUUCAUUGUCUAUAUAGAUUGGUAUUUAAGUCCAGGUAAAGUAAAAGCAUACACAAACCUCUUAAUGUCUUCUACAGCUUGUUUACGCUGUUGAAUUUGAAGUUCCAUUAUGUGAAUAAGCGUUGCUCUUGCCUGUACAUAAGUUAAAGAUAAGACAAAGGCAAAACCCAUGUUGUAUACAACAUGCGAAAAAACGAGAGAAUCUUCAUAGUAACUUACUUGGUGAGGCCUCAAGGAAUUGAGAAGGUGAUGCAAAUUCUUGAAGAUUGAAGAUAUAUCACCAAUCCUCUUUGCAUAUUGAGAUGGUCUCUCAACAAGAACAUCAGCAAGCUCUAAUAUAUGUAACUGUAGCUCUCUAUUCAGAGACCGGAGCUCCUUCUUGUAAUCUACACAAUAUUUUGGAGAUGAUUGUAUAAACCAAUACGUGUGAAUGAUGAUUCCAAAAUCAAGAGAUUUCUCCUAAAGCCUACUACAAUAUAGCAAGCAACUACACAAAAAAGGCAGUAGAAUGACAUAUACCAACAACAUUUGUAUCUUUGGGAUAAAGUUGAGGCACUCCUUGUUCUUCUAAGCUCGGAAGAACAUCCUCAGUCUUGCACCCGAAAUUCGUGAAAAAUGUUAGCCACCGCAAAGAUAACAAAACAAGAACGGUAAACAACACGAAAAAGAGAGAAAAAACCCAUACAGUAUAGUUGCCUCCAAAUGAAACGUAGGUGCCUUCAAUCGGAGGAGGAGGUUCAGGAGCAGAAUCAUAGUUCUCCUCCUUGUAGAGUCUGUAAUAUGGAGGCGGCGGCGGAUACGUAGCUGUAGCCAUUCUCUACUCUACAGAUCCACACACAUUAAGAGACUCGUUAAAAUCUUACUAAUAAACAUAUGCCUCAGGGAUCAUGAAUCAAACAAGGAGCCAUGGCCAUUAUCAAACAAACUCUGAUUUCAAAUAGCGACAAUCUAAUGUAUCAACUUAGGUAGCUACUAAAGAAGACCAAAUCAAACUAGUCACUAAGGUGAAACAUAUGCCUUAGGAAUCAUCAGUUACAUUAUGAAUCAAACUAAGGAGACAUGCUCAUUAUCAAACAAACUCUGAUUUCAAAUAGCAACAAUCCAAUGUAUCAACUUAGGAAGCUACUAAGAAGACCAAAUCAAACUAGUCACUAAGGUGAAACAUAUGCCUCAAGAAUCAUCAGUCACAUUAUGAAUCAAACUAAGGAGCCAUGGCCAUUUCAAUGAAACGCUAACAGUAACAAAGAAACUCGCGAUUUAAAAUAGCGACAAUCCUAUUAUGUAUCAACUAAAUUAGCUACUGAGAAUGAAAUUGAACAGCGAAGCCCAGAGAUGAAGGGAUUUGAAGUGAAGAAGAUAACCUCGAGGUUGUUCUUCUUCCUUUGAACUCGAAGCUGACGAAGGGUUACAAUGGUGGAUUGAUGAAGAGAAAUGAGGAAUUAGGUUUUUUGAUUUGAUUGAUUUCAGAUUUCUGAUUCUGAGAUUUUUGAUUUUUGACGAGGCGAGAGAGACGAACAAUACUAAACCGGAAAUGUAAAGGAAAGUAACUAAACCACAAUUAAACCAGGAGAAGAGGGAUAAACCGGGUUGUUCUAUCACAACUGGCGUUUCCCUCCCUUUGUUCUUCUUUAACCGGUUAAUUGAACCAGUAUCUUCUAUAUAUAUUUUAAAGUUUAUUAAUUCAACCAAACGACAUUUUCUUCUCACAUGAGAUUACUAAGCAAAAAAAAAAAAAAGAAGUUAAUGGAAUUAGGGGUGGAAGCUCCCUUAGUCUAGUGGUUGACGAAGGGUUGUUUAAAGCUUCUACACCACGAGAUCUGGGGUUCGACGCCCAGGUAAUGCGAUUUAUUUAAUUUACAGAUUAAAGAGAUAAGCUUACAGGAGAUCUAUAACAAUGCACAAUUAGAGCCGUUCGCCGUGAUUCUACGCAUGGAGAAAGAGGUGUCGUUAAGAAAGGGUGUAAUCUGUGGUGAAUCUAAAAGGGUCGGACAUAAUUGUCGGUAGUAGAAUCGUCAUUGUAACAAUUCUCAUAAUUUGUAAUAAAUAAUAAAUCAAGAGUUAAAAAAAAAAAAAUGGAAUUAUGCAUUCACUGGAUUAAGCAGUAUGAAAACAUUUUUUAUAAAUUUUAAAGAAAAAUAAAACUUCUACAAUUGUGACUACGAUUGUAAAUUAUUUGUUUAAUAAUCGUAAGAUUUUUAUUUUUCACUAAACGCUGCAAUCAAUUGCUAUAAUUGUAUUUAAAUUAUUUAAUCUCUAGAAAAAAUAGUGAUACGAUUUAUUUUAAUUGCGAUAAGUUACAAUCGCGCAAUUACAAAACGAACUACAUCUCGCAGUUGUAGUUUCAGUAGCUUGCGAUAUUAAAACGAACAUGAUCAAAAUCAGCUGAACAAUAAGAAAUAGUUGAUUAUUGUACAUGAUCUCAAGAUAUUGUUGGCAAUAUACUUCUAUCCUAAAGAUAUUUCUAAUGCUCCAUUAUUUUAGUAGGUGUCAGGAAUAAAACAGAGAAAUACAUUAGAAACAGAAACAAGUUAACUAAAAGAAAAGUCAUAUCAACUCAUAUCAUCAAAAACACCCGAUUCCCUUUUUUGGGCUUAGUCCUCUCUUUUUCAGAUAGUGUCUCUCAUCCUAUUGAAAAUAGAGUUUUUGGCCGGAAAAACACUUUCCCUUUGUCCUAAACUCCCCGUUUUGUUCAUCUCUUAAUCUUUUUGUUGCUAUUUUGUGGCGGCUAGGGUUUGUUCUUGAUAAAACUGGUGAUUGUUCUUGAGCUGGGUGAUCGAAUCUUUUCCUUUUUUCUCAAAUCUGCGUAGGAUUUUGUCGGUUCGUGUGGUCUCGUAGAUUUUAAGGGUAGUGGUUGGGUUCUUCCCUUGCUGCUUGUUAUUUCAGAAGGUCUUCUGUCCUAGAGGCUGCGAUGUCUUCGGCUAUGGACAAGGCGUUAAUGGCUAUGUCUCUUGAGGAAGAAGAAGCUCCUUUCGACAUGCCAGACCUCCCACAGUUUAGUUCCUGUGAGAUGAAUGAGCUGAGCUUGAUUGGGAGGCUUUUGAAUCCCCAAUGUCAGAGUAUGUCAAGCUUGGUGUUUAAUAUGCCUAGGAAAUGGCAGAAGAUUGGGAGAGUUCGUGGCGUGGCUCUCUCAAAUGAAAGAUUCCAGUUCAUCUUCAGAUCUGAGCAUGACCUCGUAGAAGUUCUAGAGAAAGGCUUUCAAACUUACAACGAGUGGGGGUUGGUAAUGGAGAGAUGGUCAAGGUCUCCGACAGGGGAUUCUCUCCAAUUUGUGAAUCUAUGGGUGCAAAUCAAAAACAUCCCUCUUAAUUACUAUACAAAAGAGGCGAUUACCUUGCUGGGGGAGUUAGUGGGGCAGGUGUUAGAAGUUGUUUUCGAUCCUGAGAAGCCUCAAAACAAGGAUUAUGUGAGAGUGAAGGUUAAAUUUGAUGUCUCCAAACCCUUGAGAAAAUCAAAGAUUGUUAAUCUUCCAAAAGGGCUUACGACUUCUGUUUACUACUUCUAUGAAAAAGUCCAGAAGCGUUGUUAUAAAUGUCAGAGAUUAACGCAUGUGCAGGAGGAGUGCCCUCUGGUCUUGAAAGUGCUGCAAGAUCAAGUUAUCGAAAGAAAGAUGGGAAGGAAAGUUGAGAAACCAAAACCGGAGCUGAUAUUAAAAGAAAGUGAUCCUCUUUUUGGCAUUUUGAAAGAGGAGCAAGUGGGCAUACAUCCUUUGUUGGGAAGACCGAGAAUUGCUCAAGACGUUCUGGAAGGUAUGAGGCAGUAUAUCAGACUUGCUACUGUAGAGGAUCGAACGCUGAGAAUUGAGAGAGUCAGAAGCUCAGUGGCAGAAGCGGAGAAGGAUCCUAUCAGUCAGAAAACAGUUUUAAGAAUGGAACCUCCUCCUCUGAUUUCUAACGAUUUCAACAAAGGGAAAGGUCUUGUCUUUGGUUAUGACUCCUCUGAGAUAUCUUCUAUGAAUGCUUCUAAAGUGGAAGGAACAGAAAAGUUGAUGAGUGCAGCUAUCCAAGCAGGGAGAACAAAUCCUAAUGUGGCAGCUCCAGUUAAAGAUUUUCAAGGUCUUGCUUUGGUUGACUAUUCCCAGACCUCUUCCACAUCUCAGGCUGGUCCUACGGCUUAUGCAGUUGGCUUCUAUGAGGCUGGCUCUUCCGGGACUAAGCAGAGAAAGGGGAAGGGGAGGAAACGUCCAUAUGUGAGCAGAAGGAAACCCAAACCUCUGACUGCACCGGCUGAGAUGGGAGAGGUAAUCAAGAAUCAAGGAAUGGAGAAAGGGAGCACAGAAAAAAAGGAAAGGAAGGAUUGAGGAGAAGGCAGGUCAAAAAGUUGCUAAGCACAACAACCCCGAGGUGGUCCCAAAUGAGGGACCGUCCAAUAUCUAAUGAGCAUUAUGAGCUGGAACUGCCAGGGUUUGGGGCGGCCUCAAGACCUGACAGUUCAACGUCUCAUGGAGAUGCGUAAAAAACAUUUUCCUGAGAUUCUGUUCUUAAUGGAGACUAUGAAUGUGAAGAAUGUACUUGUAGAUAUUCAGGGGUGGCUAGGGUAUGACUUUGUUAGAACGGUUGAACCAGUUGGAAGGAGUGGUGGUUUAGCCCUGUUUUGGAAAAGAGGAGUAGAGGUGAACUUUUUGUUUGAAGAUAAGAAUAUUUUAGAUCUUCAAGUGGUGUUGUAAGAUUCCAAGUUCUUCCUUUCUUGUAUUUAUGGGAAUCCUAACAGCACUUUCAGAAAUGAAGUUUGGGAAAGAUUAUUAAGAACUGGGAUUCCUAGAAAAGAGAGCUGGUGUAUGCUGGGCGACUUCAACGAAAUUCUUCACAAUGGUGAAAAGCUGGGAGGGCCGAGAAGAAGUGAGUUGUCUUUUUGUGAUUUUGGGAACAUGCUCAAAGGGUGUGAGAUGACAGAAUUGCUCAGUACAGGGAAUGGCUUUACUUAGGGUGGUAGAAGGGGUGAUCUUUGGAUCCAAUGCAAAUUGGACAGAUGUUUUGGUAAUAAAGCUUGGGCCAAAAUGUUCCCUGCCUCAAAUCAAGCCUUUCUUGAGAAGAAAGGCUCUGAUCAUAGACCUGUCUUGGUGAAGCUUAUAUCGUCGCAGGAAAAUUACAGAGGAAGUUUUAGAUUCGAUAAAAGGUUGUUGAAUAAACCUAGAGUCAAAGAAACGAUCAAGGAAGCAUGGCNNNNNNNNNNNNNNNNNNNNNNNNNNNNNNNNNNNNNNNNNNNNNNNNNNNNNNNNNNNNNNNNNNNNNNNNNNNNNNNNNNNNNNNNNNNNNNNNNNNNGGCAGUCUCAGCAUGGCAGACCUGAGACCUAUUAGUCUGUGUUCAGUGAUGUAUAAGAUUAUAUCCAAGAUCUUGGUGUCUAGACUCAAACCUCUUCUUUCAGAGAUUGUUUCUCCUAAUCAAUCAGCUUUUGUGGCUGAAAGACUCAUCUCAGAUAACAUUAUCAUUGCCCAUGAAGUGGUGCAUAGUUUGAGAACUCAUGCUCAGACAUCAAAGGAAUACAUGGCUAUAAAGACUGAUAUGUCCAAGGCCUAUGACAGGGUGGAGUGGUCUUAUCUGGAAGCUCUUUUGACAGCCUUGGGUUUUCAUGUCAAAUGGGUUGAAUGGAUCAUGACAUGUGUCUCUUCAGUUACUUACACAGUCUUGGUUAAUGGUCAGGCCUUUGGGAUGGUGGAACCUCAGAGAGGCUUAAGACAAGGGGACCCUUUAUCUCCCUUUCUUUUUGUCUUAUGUACUGAGGGUUUAACCCAUUUGCUCAACAAGGCGGAGAUGGAUGGAAGAAUUAGUGGACUCCAGUUUGCUCCAGAUGGACCUUCGAUUCACCAUCUUCUUUUUGCAGAUGAUAGCCUUUUUGUCUGUAAGGCUGAUGUCUUCCAAUGUGAGGCCCUCCAACAAGUAUUGGAAGUUUAUGGUAAGGCUACAGGACAAGUUAUCAAUCUUGACAAAUCUUCUAUUACCUUUGGUACAAAAAUAGAAGAAGAGCUUAAAGAGAGGAUUAAAACCAAGACAGAGAUUGUUAAUGAAGGAGGUGCGGGAUCUUACUUGGGUCUCCCGGAAUGCUUCAGUGGAUCAAAAAUUGNNNNNNNNNNNNNNNNNNNNNNNNNNNNNNNNNNNNNNNNNNNNNNNNNNNNNNNNNNNNNNNNNNNNNNNNNNNNNNNNNNNNNNNNNNNNNNNNNNNNCAUCUAAGCUCUUUGUACCAAAACCUGUAUUAUGUCUUAAUGCUGGCAAAAAGAGACAAAAGGGUUGGUAAUGCUGCAAGAUCCAUCCCGUGGAUCCUAUGGGUUUUGUGGAAAAAUCGCAACAAAUUGACUUUUGAAGGGUUGUCUUUCUUGAUCAAGGAUAUGGUCUGCAAAAUCAAGGAAGACACAGAACAAUGGUUUUUAGCUCAGCAGGUGGAUAAAGAGGAAGAGGAUAACAAUGGGCUGAGAGCUAAGGACUGUGGCAAAACGUGGAGACCACCGGACAAGCCAUGGUUAAAAUGCAACAUUGCAUCAUCGUGGGAUAAAGAGAAAAAGAUGGGUGGGGCUGCUUGGGUGCUGAGAAACUCAGAAGGUACAGUCCUUCUCCAUAGUCGAAGAGGCUUCAGCUCCAUUAACUCUAAGAAUGAUGCUGAUCUCUCUUGCUGGUUAUGGGCUAUUGAAAGUAUGAGUAGUCUUCAUAUAAGACGUGUUAUUUUGGCGGUGGAGACUAAAGAUCUUUAUGAUGCAGUUUUACGGCCAGCAGCUUGGCCCUCUUAUAAGCUGCAGACUCAGGUUAUCUUAGAAGCUUUAGAGCAAAUCCCUUUUUGGAAGAUUCACAAGGAAGUUCGUAAUGCUAACAAAGGUGCAGUCCUAAUUGCGCUAAGCGUGACGAGGGGGGAUCGAGGACAAUCAUAUGUAGCUGCCGGCUAUCCUUCAUGGCUUCAUGAAGUGUUCGUUGAGGAGAUGUACGUUACUUCAAUGUAAUGUUUUUGUUUAUUCUCUGAAGAUGAUUGUCCCCGAUAUAGGUUGUAAAAACUUGAUGGUUAUAUUGAAUUAUUCAGAGGAAAAAAAAAAAAAAAAAAAAAAAGAAAAGUCAUAUACAAAGCAAGCUGAACCAACCCAACUACUCAGACUUGCUGGGAUGUUUUUCCUAAAACAAAUGGAAUAUUCCUUCCUUUGUAAGAUCAUCACAAAUAAAAAUACAAAAAAAUAGGUAAAUAUCAAUUUUAGUGCUUUAAUAAAAUAAAAUAAAAAUACGUAAAUGUAAUACUAAAUUCAAGCAAUAAUUUAUAAAUAUAUGUAGAUUUUUCACUAUCGACAAUUUUAUAAAGACAGAGGUGUUUUAAAUAUGUUAAAACUGAAGUGUGGGUUAUGUUAUUGCCGAAAGUGGAAACAAAUACGACCAUCCCACGUAGAUCCGUAUUUGUCGGAUCGGGUUACAGAUCCGAAUCAAACGGACGGGUCUCUCCCUCUAUCUCCGACCCUCCCACUCUCCCUCUCAACGCGACCUGUUUACUUCAAUCUAUUACGCUCUCUCUGUCUCUAUAAACUCUGUCCAUUUCUUAAAUAUUCUAACUUUCGUGCAAGCCAAUGCUGUUUUGUUUACACAAGGCAAGUAUCUCUCUUAUCCUUGUCCCGAUUCGUGGUUUCUCCUUCUGGGUCAUUUAGUUUCUCUGAUAAUUCAGACAAAGUUCGUAUCUUUUUCCUCGAUGAGCGGUUUGAGAAAGUAAAGCUCAGAUCUUUAUCUCUGCAAUUCCGUAGUUGUUUUCGAAUCAAAUUGGGAAUUAACGUUGCUGUUGAACUUGAAUGAUUCGUUUUUUUUUUGUAAACCUAUUUGGUUUUGUUUGGAUGCUGACACAGUUAGAGGAAAGUUUUGAUUUUUAUUUGCUUCUUAGAUGUGGAAACGAUGGUAAAGAUUUGAAAUUUGAAGUUUUUGACUACACUUAUUGGCUUUAAUUCGAAUCUGUGAAUUGAUGAGUUGAUGACAUAGUCUGUUUUCUCUGUUUUGCCUUCUUCUUUGUUAUGUUGAGAUUUAGAGUAAAUUUGUGUUAUAUUGUCUUUACUCUUUAGCUUGUUCGUGAGUCAAAGUUAUUAACUUUUCGAUAGGGUUCUGAAGAAAUUGUGUAAUGAUGUUGUGAAAAUGUUAAAAAGCUGUAUUCAAUGUGUGUUUAUAUGAGCCUCAUUCUAAUUUUCAUUCUAUGGAUCUACAGAUCGGAAUAGUUGUCUCUGUAGGCAGUUGUCUUCACGAGCAGAGGAGACAUUGUCCUUUUGAUUCUUCUUGAGCUUAUUUGAGGAGAGAAAGAGAGAGAGAGAGAGGAUCUGAUGUGUGUCUCAAUCUCGCAAGUCUCUAGAUUUAGAAUCCAUUCAUUUGGAAGUUCUUGCUGUGAACGUGUUCAUGGCUGGUUCAAGAACAGCUCAAGCCUGAAGCUGCUUGAUGUUAGAGCUUCUUCGGUUGAUGGUAAAGCUAGAUGGAUCAGACGAAACUUGAGUACAAGUACACAAGGUAGUAGAAGCAACACUAAGAGUAGUGUGUUGGGAGGAACAAUUCCUGUAACUAGGAUUAUAGAUGAAGAGAGCAGGACCAAGAUACAGCAGCAGCCUUUUGGAAAUCUUCAGCAACGGCUUGCCCAAGAAAAAGAUCUGCCUAAACUCCUCACAGUUAUAGUCGCUGAUCUUGAGACAACCGGCUUGAGUAGAGUGAAAGAGAGGAUAAUUGAAAUUGCAGCACAGGAUAUAGCUGGUGGUGAGUACAGCACAUUUCAGACUCUCGUCAACCCGGGGGAUGUUCCUCUAACUAACACACAUAUCCACGGUAUCAGGAAUGAUAUGGUUCGUCGACCCGAGGUUCCAAAGUAUACAUUCUUCCCACUUUAGUACUCUUUGAAUUUGUGUGUUUGGUUUAUGCUUGGGCAGCUUACAUUUGGAUCAAACUAAUGAUCGUUUUACGUUGUAGGAUGGAAGAGCUGAUACCGAUAUUUCUGCGAUAUGUAGAGAGUCGACAGAAGCCUGGAGGUUAUGUGAUGUUAGUUGCACACAAUGGGAAAACAUUUGACUUCCAGUUUUUGAUCAACGAGUUUAACCGUUGUUCUUAUGAGAUUCCUCAUAAUUGGUUGUUACUCGACUCACUCCCACUCGCUAGAGAAAACAUGAAGUCCUUAGGUAACAUUCUAAAAUCCCUUUGCUUCUACUUCACUGUAAUGCCUGUAUAGUCUUGUUUUGUAUAUCUUAGUUGGUUAAACUGUUUACUCUAAACCUAAACAGAACAAACAUGUAUGUCGGAAACUUAUAAACUUAGAAAUGGGUUCUUCUUCUUUUGUUUUUGCAGAGCCAACAGUUAAGCCAAAAGCAACACUACAAGCUCUUGCAGAUCACUAUAGUCUUUCAAGGACUGGUGACGCUCACAGAGCCUUGUCAGAUGUUUUACUCCUAUCUCAGGUGUUCCAGAAACUCACCAUUGAUCUCAAGCUCUCGAUUUCUGAUCUUGUUCUCCGCUCUCACACGGCAUCAGAUAUCGCGACUGCCAUGGCCAAGAACAAGAAGGCCUGAAACAUUGUAGCCAUAGAUAAGCUUCUUUUGGGAUAUUCAUCUCAUCUUAUUAUUAAUGUAUCUAACUCUGCAAUUAUGUAACCAAUUAUUUAAUUUGAUUCUAAAAUCAAUCAAGCAAAAAGAAAAAAAAACAGAUGUAACUUAAUUUGAUACAAGACUCAAAGCCACAAUCCUAAUAAGAAAGAUUAGUUGUUUAAUGGAGUGAUCAUACUUCCAAGGAGAGCUUUUACCUGAUUAUGCUGAACCAUUUCGUUCAUCAAUAUGACAUUGCUAUCAAGGUCUAUGUUCUGCUUGUCAAAUGGCACAGCGAUGAUUCAGAUUCAGCCGGUGGUUCUGCGACUGACCGUGUUUUUAAGUGGCAACAAAAGUUACAAAACUGUAAAGAACGAUUUUGCUUCUACAUGGGAUGCAUUGGAAGGACAACUUUACAAAACCAAAAAUGAUUUAUGAAACUUUGAUUAGAACAAACUCUUAGUGUCAUCCUUCAUAUUCUUCACUUUGUCAAAAGGAAUCCAAAGGCAACAAAUCAAAUGAUGUAUGGAACAGUUUACACAUACUAGUGGACAAGUAUGGUUAAAUGUAUGUGUCAUCUUUUGAAUCAUGCUCUCUUCUGUUCACUCACGAUCCGGCAUCUAGAAGCAUGACUAUCAGGUCAUGUCUUCUGUACUUGUCUCACUGAGUGAAGAAGCUAUGAAGAAGAAGAUAUAACAAAAUCAAAGUUAAGUCUUCUCUUUGGUCGGAAGAAACUGACUAGUUUGACUAUUUUAUUUCUUCAUAGUUACAUUACUUCUAGUAUAUUUGGGUUCCAACACUUUAAUAUCUUCUGAUUUCGUAAAUUAAGCUUGUUAAUAGUAAAUUAAUUACUCUCUCCAAAUUUAAAAUCUAAGAAUACACACAAUUAAAUUACAUCUAUGAGUUAAAAAAAAAAGAUCUUAAAAAGUUCAAAUCCAAAGAGAGAAAAAGAAAAGUUUUGUUUUCAUCUAUUGGGGAAAACAAAACAGCCAAUAAGGUCACGAGCUCAAGAACGCUGUUUGCUUUUCCAUAAACAUGUGCACCAAUAAUAAUGAUUUUGUAUUCGCUCACUUUAAUAAAAUCCUGCGUACGUUAGCCUCAUUACCCUUUAAUCCUGCGCCGUGGUCUCCUCUCCACACUCUUAUUACCACUCCACACACGCACAGGCGGCGCGUGUAAUCAUCUCCGGUAAAUCCGCCGCUCUUCUCCACUCUCCAUCCACCGUAUCGUACAUCAACACAAGGCUUUCUCUCAGCCCUCUCUCGCUCCUCCCGCUUCGCCGGAGCAAAUCGUCGAUACAUCCCACUACUUGAACCACCGCUACUUUAUCUUCCACUCCCACGCAGCUAAACCUCACCGUUCCGUCUAACCGUACUUGUGCCGGUAACGGCGGACUUUUCAGCCUCCGCCAUUCUCCGAACCCGCUGUUACCGCCGCGACGACGCGCGUCAAAUCGCCAAAACGAAAGCUCCACCGCGUGGCUGCUUAACACGUAAAUAUACCCAACCGCCGCACACGCCGCCACUACACAUCCACCGCCAGGAACCGAACGACUCCUCAACCACUGACGCGAUUCCACGUCGAAAAGAUCCAUAGAGCUCGCGUAAGCACGCGCCGCCAACGCGCGUGAGGUUUCGUUCCCAAUUUUUAAACCACCAAUCACAUAAAAAACUCCGUCAACGGAAGCUCCGAUGCAACCGUACCUCUUCCUCGCCGAUUGAGUAACCACAACCCACCGAUUAAACUCCGGAUCGUACUCUUCCACCGCCGCCGCAACCUCCGAACCACCACCACCUCCAGCAACGUAGAUCUUCCCAGAAACCACCGCGAUUGCGAAUUUCUUCCUCGGAAAAAGCAUCGGAGAUCUCAAAACAAGCGUUCCCAUCCACGAAUCGUAUCUCAAAACAGCAUUUCUACUAACAACAUAAACCCUAGGUCCAAUCGCCGCCGCGCGAGCAUGAGACAAACUCCCGUCGACACAAACAGACCUACUCGAAACGGCGAGAGACACUUUCCAAGUCGCGACGACCUCGGACUGAAACUGCAAAUCCGCGGCGAAAAGUCCAGAAUCAACGGCGGAGAUCGCUAACAGAGAAUGCCGGAGCAUUCCCAAACGACGGCGAAGGUCGAGAAAGUAAGGAGAGUGGAGGAGACGAGACCAGCGGCGACAUACGACGGAGAGAGAAGGAAUCGAAGAGGAAGGGACUCUGGAGAUACAUUCGAGGAGCAAGUCGUCAGGUAGGGAAGCGAUCGUAGCUGAAGAAUUCGCCGCCGUGGACGACGGUUGGUGAAUCGGAACUAGUGAUUUGGCGUCGGAAGGAUUUGGUAAACAAGAUUUCAUGAGCCAUGAGAAGUGCCGAGAGUUGCAGCUCUCUGACAUCAGAAUUAUCUUCAGAGAACAAAUUUAAUUCUAAAAUAUGAUAUAAAAUAUAUAAAUAUAAAUGAAUCUGCGUUACUGAGUUGAGAGGGAAGUGUCAUUUAAGAAAAGGACUAUAUAACAUAUAGUCAUAUACACAUGUGACAUGUAUAUUAUAUUAAUUAAACUACACUUAGCUUGCGUUUAUGGGUUAUCUACUAAAGUACUAAUCCUCUUUUAGUAAAUUUAGUUUAUUAAACCAUGUACAUUUGAUGAUCAAAUAUUUGGGUAAAGACAACAAAAAUAUAUAGAGAUGUGCAACUAUAAUGUGACUGGGAUUUUAAACAUAUUUAUUUAAAAAGAACACUUUGACUUUAGCGUCAAGAGAACAUAUUGGCAUUGGUGGUGCACAGAUCUCUGUAACUCCUCAGAUAUUGACUUCUUGACUACCUAUGGUCUUCAUCUACACUACACAAUAGUGUUUGCGUACUCACUACUCUGCAAAAGAAGUCGAAACCAAAGCCAUGAAGGCAGAACAUACACUCUUCUUUUUCUUAAUAACAUCUUCUGAACUGUUUUCAUUACCGAUAUAGAAAUAAUCGGAAGAAAAAAAUACGCGAUGUUCGGGUUUAAAGAAUGAAAGAAUUACGGAGUUAACUUUUCUUAUUGAUCUAACCAGGGAUGAUGGUCCAUGGAACUUAACUUUUCUGUGAAAGAGACGUUGUUCCGAUCACACGAAUAUUUCCUUAAGGAUUAAGAGUAGUAGCAUGAUGAAACAGAGGAUGACGAGCACAGACGCGCACUUCACCAUCCCUCCAUGUCUCUGCGUUCGCUCUGCCUGUGAAGUUUUAUGCACUAAACACGUUAAUUAAAUUUGGGACAGCAAAUGAUUGGCCAUUAAUGUUGAAGUGUGUACAAUAUUAUACCUUCUGCAGUUGUUUGAGGCCAUCUUCAACAGUAGUACCGACGUUUUCAAUAUUAUAGUCUAUCCGAUCAACAAUUGUACCCUGCAGCGAAACGGGUUGUUUUGAGUUUGUUUUCCAAAGGAAGCAGACUCGGGAGCUAGUCAAAGAGAAUAUGGGUUCAAUUAGUUUUACCUGAUCUAUCACAAGUGUAGAAAGAUCCUUCAUGAUUUGAGCAAGAUCAUUGACUGAUUCUACAACCUGGACAAGAAGAAAAAAACAGAUUAUGAUUGAUUGCAUAAGAAAAAAACCAUCGGUGAGCAACAAACAACUAAGAACAUAGACGAAAGUACUAGCCUGUUGUAUCUCUUUCUCCCUCUCUACCGAUACUUCCUCGCUCUUUUUAAUCUUGGACAUCUGAUUCUCGUUUAACUAAAAUGAAUUGGAGAAUAGAUUCAUCAAUAAAGAAGUACAUAAGACAAGGAUGGCUACAAAUCUAAAGAAUGAAACAGAUAUAGGAGUCAAACCAUAUCGCCAAAGUCAUCUUCAUCAGGUCUAUAUCUGUUUCUGCUCAGAUUCAUCUCUAAAUCUACUCCAUCCUGAUAAAUGAUAAUACAUUACAAGUCAAGCUUCUUGUGAGGAUAGAAUAAUACAAUGUCCCAAAUUUGAAAAGGGAAAAAACAAGCAUCAAGAGAAUCUAUCAUCUAUGAUAUCCAAGUAAACAAGCUUUAUCAGGGUGCAGCAUCGAAACACAAACAAAAACUUCGACAAACAAUAAACUGCACCAUCAAAGUUCCUGGCAUCAGAAUUGAUCAGAACGUUAACAGUUACAAUCGACCAAGUUCUAGCUAAAUACCUCUUUUUGCUGUCUCAAGCGUUUCAAAUAAGUCGAUUGUUUUUUGCGGAGCUCCAUAGAAAGAAGUUGGAGAUCAGUGGCAAGAGAUCGCUGUUACAAAACACAUACAAAUAAAAUCUCAGAUAGCUAUAACAAUGCUGCCCAAAAAAAUGAAAAGCCUUUAAAACAGAUGUAUGAGCAGCACCCAUCAACAAGUCAAAGCCUACCUGCACGUUUUUCCUAACAUUAGAAUCUUCAGAAGGACCUGCUGCAGAAAGCCUCUGAAGUUGCUUCUCAGAUUUCUUCAAUAAAAAAGUGAUCUCCUGUGUCAAAGACUCAAUAUUAUGCUGAUCCUCUUUACCAUCUCCAAACGACGGCAUUAACGCUUUGGCAUGAGCCUUUCCCAGCUCAGCCAUUUUAGUCCUCGCACGCUGUAUAUUAACAGAGAUCUCCUCAGAUACAUCAACCCAAGCUGGUGGUAAUCCCACUGUUAUCGCACUGACACAAGCAAGAAAAAAAAUCUCAAACAAAUGAACCAGCUCUGUGAUUCUUAAGUGUGAUUAAGCCACACUGCUACAUAUCUAUCACUCUAGCUUAAGCAUCUGAGUUUUAACACACGAUUACCAAAACCCUAAUUGAUCAAUUCACCGGCAAAGAAGAAGAAGGAGAAUGAGUACCUCGAAUUCCCAGGAUCUUCGGUGGUACUAACAGGAGCGUAAGAGCGAUUCGGAUUCAACAAUGAUGUGCUCGCCAUCUCUAUAACCGGACCAACGCCGGAUCGUGUUCCCGUCAAUGAAGAUGACGAUAAUGGAGCUCGAACGCUCCUCAGAGAGUUCCUAUACUUCCUGAACAACAACGUACGGUUCCUCGUCGCCAUGAUCGCCAAAUAAUCAAAAAUCCCUAGAAUCUCAAUUUCAACAUCCAAAAUUCGAAAUUCAGCUUUUAGAUUAUCAGAGCUUCGUCUCCGAUUUGAAAACUACAGAUCUGAAACACGACCGCGGCUUCAUCAUCCACCGAGGAUAAACAAACACGAAAUGUGGCGCCAAAAUUGGAACACCGAUGAUGAACGGAAAUGCUCGAAGACCGGCGAGAUCAAAAACUUCUCCGAUGAGGUUUUCACUAUUAUUUCCCCAAAAUAAAUAAAAAAAUUUUUGAAACAGUAAAAAAAAAAAAACUCUUUUGACUGUUGAGCGGCUUAAAGUUCUUCUGUUUCACCAACUUACCAAAACUAAACCAAUAAAAUCUCGACACGUAAGUGUACAGUAAACAGCAUGACGUUUUCAUAUUCCGAAAGUGGAAUACACAGCGGGUAAGAGAAUUAAACGGCAUGCAUUCGUGCGGGCUGUUGAAAGCGAGAGAGAUUAGUUUAAAAAACUUAAAAAUAAAAAGUAAUGUAAUGUAAUAAAACUCAUCUCCUCUCCUAAUGUCUCUCUCACUCUCUCUCUCUAUCCAAAGAAUUAAAAACAAAGAAAGCCAUUAAAGAAAAAAGAAGAAGAAACGCAGAAUCGUCGUCGUCGUCGUCUUCGCAUUUCGCCGGGAUAUUUUUGAUUCUUGAAUCGGAAUAUUUGUGUUUUCAUUUAUCGAGAGUCAAAGAUUGAAUUUUUUUUUGUUUUUUGUUUUGUUUCUGUUGGGGGAAAAAAGUGGAUUCUUGGGUUUCGAUUUGUAAUAGUUUUAUUUGGUUGUUGUAAGAAUGGAUUCUGAUUCUUGGAGUGAUCGUCUCGCAUCGGCUUCAAGAAGAUAUCAGCUUGAUUUCUUGUCUCGAUCUGGUGAGUUGUAAUAACAAAAAAAAAAUUGAAUUUGGAUUUGUUGUUCUUUGUUCUUUGUCAAUUAAUCUUUGAUUUGUAGAUUUGGUUUGGUUUGUUUUCAAUUUUAAAUGUAUCUUGAUUCUAUGCCAAAACCAAUUAUGUUGCUCAAUUUGUUUUCUCUUUAAUUUGAUUGAGGUUGAAUGAGAGAGGUUCCGACAAAAGGUGAUGUCUUUGGUCUGAAUUAUUGAAAUGGAGAUUUGUUUUUCUGAUGUUGAAAUGGAGGAAUAUGGAAGGAAAAUAAAAUAAAAAAGUCUCUGUCUUUGAGGCAUUUUACUUAUGUGGGGGGCUUUAAGGAUUUGAUUAAGCGUGUGUGUUUGUUUAUACGAAGAGUUUUUGUUUUGGUUUUUGGUAUGAAAGUUGGAAUCUUGAAUCUUGAUGAUUCUUGUUUGACCUAGGUACCUAGUUUUAAAAAUUCAAGAAUAUACAAAACUUUUUGUGGGUAAGCUUGGUUUCAUCUCAAACGUAGACAUCUUUUCCAGGAAAGGUUUAUGAUAUGCUUGUUUCCUUUCGUUCUUUAUGAAUCUUGUUGUUCCUUUUAUACCUCAAUUCUUAUAUUUGUAUUGUUAACUUGAGAAAAUGGAAAUGGAACGCGUUUUUAGUAUUCCCGUGAUUUUGUUUUAGAUUGGUCUCUUUGCAUUGUUGUUUUGUGGUAUUUGACUAGGACUUUCUUGUUUUUCUAAACGCAGACAAUUUCUUGGGAUUUGAGGAGGUAGAAGGAGAAGAUGACUUCAGGGAGGAGUAUGCUUGCCCUUUCUGCUCAGACUAUUUUGAUAUCGUGUCUCUAUGCUGCCACAUUGAUGAAGAUCAUCCUAUGGACGCCAAAAAUGGGGUAACUAUUACCUCAAUACUAUACAGUUAUGAAAAAACUAUUUAUUGUUUCAUCACAUAUUCACAUGGUUUCUUGGUACAUUGGGCAUAACAAGGGUACUUUGUUCAGUAGUUUCUGUCUUGUAUGUAAGAUUGGAAUAUGUCGAAAUAGGAUUGUAGUUGCCGCUCAGUGUGCCUCAGAGAAUAAAUUAUAAGACCCUUUUUUAUUGUCAGGAGGGUUUGCUGCAAUAGAAGAUUGACAUAUUUUUUCUUGUAGGUAUGUCCCGUUUGUGCGGUGAAAGUGAGUUCUGAUAUGAUUGCUCAUAUAACACUUCAACAUGCAAAUAUGUUCAAGAUAUCCUUUUCUUUCCUUCUUCUAGUUAUAUUUUAUAAGAUCAUUUACUUCUGUGAUUCGUUUCAAAGAGUUGUGUUUUGUUCCUUAACAAAAGAUUACGUGACGCGGAAAAGAAAAUCAAGAAGAGGUGGAGCUCAGUCCAUGCUAUCGAUCUUGAAGAGAGAGUUUCCUGAUGGAAAUUUUCAGAGCCUGUUUGAAGGAUCGUCGCGUGCGGUACCCUCUUCUUCUGCCAGUAUAGCUGCUGAUCCUUUGCUGUCUUCGUUCAUUUCACCAAUGGCUGAUGACUUUUUCAUUUCUGAGUCAAGUCUAUGUGCAGAAACAACUUCUGCCAAGAAAACAUCUACUCAGAGUUUUCCUGAAAGGUAUGCUUCCUCAUUCUCAUUAUGUAUUCUCAUUGCAUUGCCCUUUCCUUUAUCAUUAUUAUAGUUGAAAGUUCUGUAUGUUGCAUCAGCGAAAUCGCACAAACUUACUUCAGUGAACCUUUAGAGAAUUUAGUUGAUCCCUUUAUUACCAUAAGCAUAAAGCUCUUCUGAUUGUCAUUUUCUUUAUCAUUUUGUAGUGAAAAUCUCGUAUUUUGGAUCAAUGAAAUCUCAGAAACAUAGUUUUUAUGAGCCUUCAUAGAACUAAGUUGGUCCCUUGUUACCAAAAGCAUAAAGCUCUUGUGAUUGCCCUUUCCUUUAUCAUUCUUGAGCUAAUUAACAUCUAAGUACUUAGUCAUUGCAUAUUUAGCUCAAUGAAAUUUUGUAUCUUUGAUGAAGCAUUACCAACAAAAUCGCACAAACUUAGUUUAUAUAAGCUUUCAUGAAGUUUUGGUGAUCCCUUGUUUUAGCAUUAACCUAAAGCUUUUGUGAAAAUACAAACUGUAGAAGUUUCUCUGAGCCUUCAUGAAGUUUUGUUGAUCCCUUGUGUUACCUCUGACCUAAAGCUCUUGUGAUUUUGUUGUUGUUGUAAUUAUACAGGAAUGUUGAGAAGCAGUCUCUUUCAGCAGAGGAUCACAGAGAAAAGUUGAAACAGAGCGAGUUCGUUCAAGGGAUAUUGAGCUCAAUGAUCCUUGACGACAACUUAUAAAGGAGAAAUAAUAAUUCCGAUUACUUCUCUACGGUUUAGAUCAUUCAACGAUUGGAAAAUGUAAACUGCUUUGUUGUUGUUGUUAUCACAACAAGUGAGUUUGUUGGGGAAGGGUUUGGGAAUAAACAGAGAAUAAUGUUAAAAGAGAGACAUGAUAAUAUGAGUAUUAUUAACUUAUGAAAGACAUAUUUGCUCUAAUGAACACUCAGAAUUGUCUGUAGACUGUAGUAGACCUUAGAAAAAACCAAAAAAAAAAAAACAAAAACAUAUAUUUGGACUGAGUUGUUUUGUUCUUAAGAUUUUCAGUUUGCUCUAGCUUUUUACUGAAAAUAGUUUUGUAAGCAAUGCAAAGACAAAGAAUUAACUCUUUUAACUGUGUUCUGUAACAAGCUAACUUAUGCAUAAAACUUACCAUAAAAGAUUGAACUAAGGAUUGUAGAGCUUUACCCCGAAGGGAGCUCUUCCAGAAAUUCUCGAAGGCCCAAGACGAGCUUAGGCCCAGGAGGGGGUAUGGAAAUAGUUUUCAACCAGCAAUAGACGCGCUUCGGUUAAGACCUCAUUAGCUGCGUCAUUGCCCCAAGCGCAAAGAUGAGUUGCGAUGAGUGAGAGACUCCUUAUUUAUACCCACACAAUGCUCUGGAACUUUAUACGUGCUCCGAUGUGGGACUUUAGUCUUGGCUCCAAUUAUAUUUAAGAUUAUUAUUGUAAAAACAAAGCAAUAAUAUAGAAGAAACGUUGAAAGUUAAAACUAAGAAUGGUAGGGGCUGCGCGGACGCAAACCCCCUCUGCCACAAAUAAUGACGCAGGCUCUUCCUCAAGGGAAGACCUUAAGCUUAGCACCCCACGUUAUGUGCAAUGUGGUCACUAGCCUAGGCCACUCGUCUUCUUGAUCGCGAGUUGACCCCGUCCAGGUAAGUAAUUUUCUCGAACCACCUGCUUCUCUAUUUAUACUCCUGCUUCCCUUGUCAUGGCUCUGGGUCAGAGCGAUGUGGGACAAAUUGUAUUUGCACAUCUUGCUGUGUUAUGCAUCUGGUUUCCAACACCGUGCUGUUUUUCUCACAACGGCAUGAGUUUUUCUGCUUUUGUGUUGUACACAUGGCCCGGACGAUCUAGGCCCAAUUAACCCUCCACAAAACGUUUUGCCAAAAAUAAAAGAAGCACAUAUAGAUUUUUUGCUCAUCAUACACAUUAACUUAGACAAAAAAAAAUAAAGAGAGAGAGUUUUCUAGAUUUUUGAGUUUUAAAUCAUAUGAUGGAUUUAAGAAACUGUUUAGAGGAUAUGAAAAGAGUUCUCAUUGGAAGAUGUUCGGCAUCUUUGGCAGAUCCAUGACGAGUUUAUUAUAGUGUAUUAUGGUCUCUUUUAUAGUUUGGGAGAAGAAGAUUACAAGAGUGGGAUUAGAAGUGGACUCAGAAAUGGUAGUGAAUUUUUUUCAAGACGGAGAUUGGUGAAUCUUAUUCAUUUGUGCCAUGAUUUUUUUUUAUCAAAGAUUGUGUUUAGGAAAGCUAUAUGUUUCACGGAUUGAUAAGCAAACUAUACGGACCAUCCUUAUCGCACAACUCAAUCAGAUGUGUCUUUAACUAAUUUAUUUUAUUAAAUAUUGAGCUAACAAAAUUUAGAACUAAUUUAAAUGUGACACAUAGUUUAGAGUGUCUUUAAUAGAUGUUUUGAAUAUCUUGGUAAAACCAUUUUUAUUUCUCUUUCCUGAUGAAUGUUUUAAAUUUAAUAAUAAAAAAUAUGAAAGACACUACAUUUAUCACUAAUGGAGGUGCUUUACUUUAUCUUUAAGCUUUCAUGUAUUUUUUAAAAAAAUACGUUUAUGGCCAUUGUUGAGACUUUGUUGAGAGACGAUUUGUUAGGACAUGCGUGUCAUGGUAUGUAAUUUUCUCUUAAAUUUGUAGAAUACUAGCUCGGAGGUUUACUCCUGGUCAUCACACAAAAUAGAGAAAAGAAAUGAUUAAUAUUUUUCUAUAUUGUUUUCUAGCAUGUGCAUUUUGUUUCUAUAACCAAAAUAUUUCAACCAAUUAAAACCCUUCUACUUAUUUUCAGUAAUUAUUUGAAAUUAUAGAAAAUACCAAAAAAAAAAAAAUUACAAUCCAAGAAUCUAUAAUCUCACUAGCAUUAAUCUAGCUACAAUUGUAAUUGCUCUACAUUAUUCAAUUAAGAUAAGAUACAUGGUUGCUAUCACUACAAUCGCUGUUAUGCUACCACAACAUCUAUUCAAGGCCAAAGUGUUUAGGUCGGGAGAGACAGUAGACCUUGUUUGCUAUUUUAAAAUGUUCCAAUCUCAAUGAUAAAGUAAAACACCAUGAGGACCCUGUCCAAAGCCUUUACCAAAUCAAAAGUGUUUUUUCAAGUACAUCAAAUCAUUAUCAUCAUCCUAACCUCUUUUGUCGUCUUCCUUCCAAUCUUUAAUAAUUAUGUUAAGCAUUUGCUAUUAUAUUUUCUUUCCACAGGGUUCAAUUGGUAAUGUACUCAAAACUGUACAAAAGAGCUGUAAACUGGAGUAGUAAGCUUUUACGGAAUAGUCCAAAGUUAUAAGGAAAAACGGUAUAUAAAACUGUAUAAAACGGUAUAUAAAAGCUGUAUAGAAAAAGGAGAGAGUAAAAUUUUUAAUACAGUUUUUGGUAAAGUUUUUGUGAUUGGUAAAAUCUAAAAACUGUAUUAGUUGUACAAUUUUUAUAUGUUUACUGAUCAAAGCCAUAGUUUUGUUAUCUAUAUAUUCAAUCCAGAUAACUAUAGUCUAUACAUUACACACUAUUGAUUCUCAUAUAAAUCUAUUUUAUUCAACAAUUUAAUAUGGGUUUUAGUUAGGCUUCACUAAUGUGGUUUUGGCUUGUAAGUAAAUAUAAAAAUUUACCGUAGAAUUUUGAGAUUGGAUAUUUUAACGCUAUUUUACUUAUGAAAAUAUUAUAUAUAUAUAUAUAUAUAUAUAUAUAUAUAUAUCUUACUAUAUGCAAAUGUUUUACAAUUCUUUUAACUUUGAUAACACCUAACAUCAAUGAUAACUAUUAGCUAAUAACACUAGAUUUUUAAAGUCUUUAACUAAAUUAACUCAUAUAAACUUACAUUAAUAUAUAUUAUAUAUGUUUUUCAUAAUUCUAUUUAUAUCAUAUACUAAGUAACACUUAACGAUAUCUAAACAGAGAUAAACAUGUCAUUAGUGAAAGUGAUGUUUGGUCUGUGUUUCCUACUAAUUAGGAAGCAAAGUGAAAUGAUUUCGUCCACUUAGCAGUUUUAAACAACUUUAUUGAAAAAAUAUUUCUCCCUCAAAACAAAAGCUAAUAACUGCCUCAACUAUAUAAAACUAUGUACUUAAGUGUCCUUAAUUUUUCACAAAUUUAGUAAUCAAAAAGUCCGAUUUCCGAUUCAAUAAUCUAUUUUUUUUAAUUAUUAAGAUCCAUUGAAUUGGACCAGCCAAAAUCAUACACACACGUAUACCAUUACCAUUACACACUCAUUGAUACUGUACAUGCAUAGUAUAUCAAAAAGAACUAUCAUCUCUAAGCAAAAGCUAUACUUUUACAGGUUGGUGUGUUCGGCAAAAAAGGGGUCUUGUUCAUUUCUUAAAGUUGGUACUUAGAUUUCUAUGUUUUCAAUGUCAAUAAAGAGACUUUGGUAUUUUUUUUCUAAAAGAUAUAAUGAUGAUAAUACAAAUAAUAGAAAUUAAUGUAAGAUAAUAUCAUCCCCCAAAUUAAAAGCUUAAAUUUUACACUAUUUGUGAAAAAGAAUUCAAGAUUUUUUUGUCGAUUUAUGGGGAGAUGACAUGUAGUUAAACAGUGUAAAACUGAUUUUUAGGCUUUAAAAAAGUUGAAAAAGAGAAAAAGAAAUGUGUUUGUUUAGGGUUCAGAAAUUGAUGUUUGCUUUUUGUGAACUGAAAAAACUUUUGUGUUUGUGUGUGUGCCCUAAAAUAAAUCCUUACUUUAGCCAGCAUGUUUCUGGGCUGCCUUUUUAGUGGGCCAUUUAAUUUCGGCCCGAGUAAUUUAUUUAAUUUUAUAAGUGUUAAUCUAAACCAUUGAUUUUAUAAUUAGCCACGUCGAAGUAAAAUACGCGCCUAUUUUUUCUAUGGUUUUGGAUCCAAAGCUUGGGUUAUCUUCUGGCUCUAUGACUCUUUUGUUCUCAAACUAAACAAUAAAAUAAAAGCCACAGAUUACUGUAAAUUUAUAUGAUUAUUAAAUAAUGUUGGUAUAAUCUGGUGUUGAUUUUAUAUAAUUCAGUUAUUAAAUAAAAAUUUUACUUGAGAGAUCUACAAGUCUUAUCUUAACCGAAUGAACCCAAAUUCAGUUCUUAGUUUCGGUUAUUGGUGAAAACGGAUUUAAUUUGGUAUAACUCGGUCUAGUUUUGAUAGUACAUUCGGUUGUUUUAAUAAAAAUCAGUUACUUGCAAAAUCGAUUAGUUCUAUCUAAAUCGAAUUAAAAUUGUAGGAUAACCAAACCUAUAGUAUGAAUCGAUUCAGAUUAUAUAAAAAAAAAAAAUACAAAAACAUUUCGGCUCAGUUCGGAAUCUCAGUCCUACUCAAAAUAACAGUGAAAUAUAUUCCUUUAUAUAUUUUUUUAUUUUAAAAUAGAAUAAGUAAAAUGCUGCAAUAAAAUAAAAUAAAUGGAAUUAAAUUUCUACAUAACAUCAACAUAAAUGGGAACAUAUUAGAAAAAAUGUAUCUACUAACAUGUGCUCCUUAAAUUAAUAACUAAUCACAUCUUUAUUUACAUCAUAAAAAAAAAUUAGCUUUAAUAAUUUUAGAAAACUCUAAAUACACAAUAUUUUCUUCUAUAAUUAACCAAAAAAAAUUCAAAAUUCAAAAAAGUCAAACCAAUAUAUCUAUAAUACCAUUUUUAAAAUUUUAUUCUAUACAAUAAUUUUUUUGUUUCUUUAUCUAUCAUUAAUUAUUAUUAUUUUAAUUUCAAUUUUUUUGGUUUUAAUUAUAAUCAAACCAAAAACAGAAAAAAAAAAAAAAAAGAGAGAAGAGCGUAUCUCUCGCGUCCUUUGCUAUCUCCAUCUCACAAGAGAGAGACAAAGAGAAAGUGAGGGAAAAUUUUUCAUUUCAAACCUUUUCUCUCUUUCUUCCAUUGCCUCUUCUUCUUCUUCUUCUCUCCUCUCUUUAUAAAACAAAAUACCACCACCACAAAUUUCUCUGUAUCUCUUACAAAAAAAUUAAAAAAAUCUCCUUUUUGUAGAUGGCGACGACAUCGGAGAUCAACAACAAUGAUCUUUCUACCUUCUCUUUAGUAUCAAUCGUUGAAGAUGUUCUUCAACAACAUAGUACCCGAUCAAGCGACGUUGGUUUGGUUCCUCGCAUAGUUGAAGAAUCUUGUGAGUCUCUCUUUUUGGAAUCGAUUCAAUUUUUGCUGGUGAAUUCGAUUUCUGGAUUCAAUUGGGUUUAUGUUUGCUAUGGUGUUGUUUUUAUAUGCAAAAAUUUUGGAUUUUUGUAGCUGUAAGAAGAUAUGAAGCUGCUGGGUGGCUUAGAGAUAUGGUUGGAGUUAACAAUGGUAAAGAUUUCCCAGCUGAGCCUUCUGAAGAAGAUUUUAGGCUUGGGUUACGAAGUGGGAUUGUUCUUUGCAAUGUUCUUAACAAAGUUAAUCCUGGGUCAGUCUCUAAGGUAAAAAAGUUUCAACCUUUAUUGAGUAUGGAGAUGGAGAUGAUGGAUAGUUGAAAUUGAUCUGUUUUAUCUCGUUGCAGGUUGUUGAAGCGCCUGAUGAUGUUGCGGAUGGAGCUGCGCUUUCGGCUUUUCAGUAUUUUGAGAACAUAAGGAAUUUUUUGGUAGCAAUUGAAGAAAUGGGUUUGCCAUCUUUUGAAGCUUCAGAUAUGGAGAAGGUAGAAAGAUUGUGGUUUUUUGGAUUAGAUACAGACUUGUAGCUUUUGUUUUACCUUGGUUGAUUUAUUUAUUUUUCUUUCAGGGAGGUAAGUCUGUGAGGAUUGUGAACUGUAUUCUUGCUCUUAAAUCUUAUAGUGAGUGGAAACUCAAAGGUGAGAAUGGUCCAUGGAGGUAUGGUUCGAACAUGAAGCAUAACUUUGGUAUGAGAAAACCAUUUCUGAGGAAAAAUUCAGAGCCGUUUAUGAGUUCUGUAUCGAGAACUGAUCAACCUUUGAGUUCUGAUGUUGGGCAAGAUCUUAGUGAAAAGGUAAGUGAGAGAUUCCUGCCUUGUGGAAAUGUUUGUUUGUAUGGCAGUGAAUUGUGGUUGUUGAUAAAAGUGUUUACUUUUUCUGCAGGGAGAUUCUAGAUCCGUAAAUGGGCUUGUUCGCUCAUUCAUUGCAGAUAGAAAGCAUGAAGAUAUUCCCAAUGUAACAAUUCUGCCUUUAUAGUUUGUUGCUUAAUGAAAGCUUUGUAAUGGUUUGUCUAAGCUACUUAAGGCAUAUAAUAUGAAUUGAAGCGAUGUAUAUUAGAAAAUUGAUGUCUAUCACCAUUUGUAGGUUCAGGAGUUGUUACCAAGACUAUUGCAAUAGACACCAUCUCGAAAGUUCUUAUUGAGAAAUCUGAUUUCUUUUCUUACUUAUCAGGUUGUAGAGUCUGUAUUGAACAGAGUUAUGGAAGAAGUCCAACAGCGGUUAUCAAUCCACAAUGAAAUGGUGAGAGCAAGUGAAGUCAAUUAAGAUGUUAUUUUCUUUGGAGUGAAUAAGUAGAGUCAGUCUGAGGUUUUGAUCGAUUUGGCUUAUUGAUGCAAUGAAACUGGCUUUCAAUAUUUUUCAGAUGAAAUCAAGUUCAAAGCCUAUUCUAGAAGAUGAUGAUUCAUCCUGUGAGACAUUGGUGCGGUCUCAGCAGUGUGAUGCAAGACAACAUGAGGAAGCAGAAGAAGACAGUAUGUCCCCGGUUGUAGAAGAAAAGUUUCAAAGGACACAUUUUGAGAAUUACGAAGAACAAGAGAUUCUUUUGAAUCAACAAAAACGCAUCCAGGUAAGUUCCAAUUUUAUGGCGUUUGAAGGAUCUAACAACCAUAUCAUGAAAAUGGUUUCUUAUUCUAUCUUCCAUUCUCAAUGAUUUAUAAGAAUGACAAGUUAGAAAGGUAACUUAAACAUUGAUUUACUGCCUACAGGAAUUGAAGCAAACCUUGAACUCUACAAAAGCUGGAAUGCAAUUACUGCAGAUGAAGUAUCAAGAAGAUUUCUUUCACCUAGGUGUCAACUCAGAUCAUCUUUUUGUUAUGUUUUUGUUGAGGCCUCAAUGUUCAAUCAUUGAAUAUUUAAUCUGUCAUUAUUUUUGGGUUGGUCACACAGGCAAGCAUUUAAAUGGUUUAGCUUAUGCGGCUACGGGAUACAAAAGGGUUCUUGAAGAAAACCGCAAACUGUACAAUCUAGUGCAGGAUCUAAAAGGUAACUCGACAGGAAAGAAUUUUGAUUUUGUGUCAGUCAUACUUCAAGAAUCUUGAAUCACGAAGACAGUUCCUAUAAUUAACCUGCAUAAUGACCACACACUUGGUAAUGUAUAGGAAACAUACGGGUGUACUGUCGGGUUAGGCCUUUCUUGCCUGGGGAACCAACUGGUUUGAGUGCCGUGGAACACAUAGAUGAAGGCACCAUCACAAUCAGAGUGCCAUCCAAGUAUGGAAAAGCAGGGAAUAAACCAUUUAUGUUCAACAAAGUCUUUGGUCCUUCUGCAACACAAGGUUAAAAAAUGCUUAUUUUUAUGUCCCAUUAAUGUUUAGUUUGUUGCGCUGUGAAUAACAUUAGGGAAUUAAUCCAUUUUUCUUCAGAGGAAGUGUUCUCAGACAUGCAGCCUUUGGUACGGUCGGUUCUUGAUGGCUACAAUGUCUGCAUCUUCGCUUAUGGCCAAACCGGAUCAGGGAAAACUUUUACCAUGGUAAGAACUACUACUAUACAAGGCUUCCAAUCUUUUUUAGAUGAUUAGAUUGUUUUUGAUUCAAUAUACAACUAUGGUUUUAACUUGUCUUUAUAGAAUACCAAAUUCCUAAUUUUCUAACUACUCUAGACAGGGCCUAAGGAGCUGACUGAAGAAAGCCUAGGUGUGAACUAUAGGGCACUGGCAGAUCUGUUUCUUCUAUCAAAUCAAAGAAAAGACACGACCAGCUACGAGAUUUCAGUUCAGAUGCUGGAGAUCUAUAACGAGCAAGUCAGAGAUCUACUUGCCACAGAUGGCCAGACUAAAAGAUAUCCUUUGUGUUAAUAUAAGUUUGACUGUUGUGUCUUCAUCAUUUAAAAACUUUGAUACUUUGAAUUUGAUUUUUUCUUAACUCUUGAUUACGUUAGAGAUCAGAAACAACUCUCAAAAUGGAAUUAAUGUGCCGGAAGCAAGUCUAGUUCCUGUCUCAUCUACCGAUGACGUUAUACAGCUGAUGGAUUUGGGACACAUGAAUCGUGCAGUGAGCUCUACAGCUAUGAAUGACAGAAGUAGUCGAUCUCACAGGUUCGAUUUUUCUUCUAUUCUUAUAUUAUGUCAUGAGUACUCUCUUGUAACUCGUUCUAACCCCAAAUCUUCAUCUCUUUGGCAGUUGUGUAACUGUGCAUGUUCAAGGCAGAGACCUCACAUCUGGGACUAUCCUCCAUGGUUCUAUGCAUCUGGUUGAUCUUGCAGGAAGCGAGAGAGUGGACAAGUCUGAGGUGACUGGAGAUAGACUGAAGGAGGCUCAACACAUCAACAAGUCCCUCUCGGCUCUUGGAGAUGUCAUCUCCUCGCUUUCCCAAAAGACUUCUCAUGUGCCUUACAGAAACAGUAAACUCACUCAGCUGCUGCAGGACUCCCUUGGUGAAAUUCUCGAAACCCUCUUAGGUUAUUGCAUUUGGGCAUAAACACGCACUUGAAUCUUAUACAACAUAUUUUUUACAUUAUCAGGAGGAUCAGCCAAGACACUCAUGUUUGUCCACAUAAGUCCAGAAGCUGACACUCUCGGAGAAACUAUUAGUACUCUAAAGUUUGCUGAACGAGUGGGAAGUGUUGAGCUAGGCGCUGCUCGUGUGAACAAAGACAACUCAGAGGUUAAGGAGCUUAAAGAACAGGUUCAUAACCCAUACACCAUGUCCAGACCUUGAUUGUUCUACAUACUCAUUUGCUGUCUUUCCUUCAUUCUUGUCAUAAUUAUAUCAUAUAACUAAUCUGCCACUGUUCUUGGGGAUUUCAGAUAGCUAAUCUUAAGAUGGCUCUAGUAAGGAAAGGAAAUGGUAAUGAUGUACAACCAACCUCUAUACCAAUGAGCCGUGAGAGAAUAUCGAGAAGAAGAUCACUUGAAACUCCUUCUAUUCGACCCAAGUUACCUGGUAUGGGAAACACACCAAGCAACAGCAGGCCCCAGAUCAUGGAUCUAAGUGGACCAGAGGUAUGCUUUAUCUUCUUUCAAGAGCAAUCAAUGCUGCUGUAUCAAACUAACUAGAAGUUAUAAAUUUAUGUCAUCUGUGUAUAUAUGUAAUAUAUAUAGUCUUUGAAACUGGAUGCAGGCUUUUAGCGAUUCUACUGCAUCUUCAAGAAGACACAGCUUAGAUAUCCAUGAGCUUAUGAAAUCUUCUUCUCCGGCUUGGCCGAGGCAAUCACUCGAUGCAAAAGACGAGGAUAGAGAAUUUAAGUCUGGAGAGUGGAUCGAUAAGCACGAAGAAUUAAUUCGAGAUCAGAAUCCAAAUUAUCCUGAGCAAUUCUACCAGUCAUUGGUCCCUCAACAGCAAUCACUGUAUGUGUAAACUCACGUUACAUUGUUUACUUUACAUGUAUCAUCUCUUCAUUUCCUUAAUCUUGAUCUAUACAAUCUUUCAAAUGACAGAAAUGGCGGUAAACAAGAUUUCGAAGUGCAGAGUAUUACAGAUAACGAAUCUGAUGAAGCCGCAACAAGCGACUGCUCAGAUUCCGAUUUGCUGUGGCGAUUGAGCGUUCAAGUGAAUGUUCCAAGAGUUUCUAAUGUCCAAAACUCAGCAAACCCCAAACCAAAGAAACUUCAGCCUAGAACUGCUAAACUUCAAGAAACUAGGUAAACAAAUACAUCAUUUUCCAAGUUUGUUUGCAGCUAAUCAUUAUAAACUUAAUUGGGAACUUUUCUUGUGACAGAAGCUUAAUCCCGUCGCUGAUACCAGCACCAAGCAAGAGACUUCCUAACACCGUAAAUUCGCAGCCGCAGCGACCAACCAGAGAUGGAAAACGCAGACUGAGUUUAGGCACAUAAACAUGUUUUUCACCAGUUUUGUAAAGAGUUUUCAAAGAGACAAAAGAAAGAAAAAAAAAAGAUUUGUUAUUUCUUGUAUAUUGUGAGAGCUUUCUCUGUUUUGGCCGUUCCUCUUAUUGUGUCAUUAAGGGUGAAGAUCUCAAAUUUGCUGCUUUGAGUGUACAAAGAAGGAUUCCUUAUUAUAUACAGUCUUCUUUUGGAUUCUUAACCUAUGUGUAUGCAAUAUGCAUAUACUGUGUAAUUUAAUUAUAUGAACAACCAAACCACAACCAAAUAAAUCUCUAAAUUCACAGAAAAAUUAAAUUUGAAAGGGUAAAAAAAAAAAAAAAUCACGACUAAGGGCAUCUCCAAAGGUAGUAUCUAAACUACAUUUUUAGAGACUAAAAAUUAAAAAAAUAUUAGUAAAACAUGAAAGAGAAAAUUAUGGGUCUCUAUAUUAGAGAUUUUGGAACCUCACUAUGAACUCCUAAUCACACUUGUCACUUUAUUAUUUGCUUAGUUGUAUUUAAGUAAUAGAAUAUAAAUAUAUAAGUUAAAAUGUUAAUAUACUUUUAUUUUUAGAAUCUCUCACCAUCUCCCACCGUUGGAGAUGGUCUAAGUUACCACUAGAAGAAGUGUAGUGAAAUCAAACCCACGUUUCUAAAAAACCACUCCGAUAUAUAACAAACACAACUCUUUCCACAAACACCACUAGUCUCUCUCUUUAUCAUUUUCAUCAACUUCAUCAAACCAUAAGAUCAUCGCUGAGAUGAGCAAAGAUUCACCAAGAAUCGUGCCUGCGUCCACGUCCACAUCGUGGAAGUUUAAGGUUUCAAUGGAUCAUCAAGGGACGAUGAAGACCAAACAAUCCGGGAAAACAAGAAGGAACAAGAACAGGACCAAUACGGACAAGAAGAUGAAGAAAGAAGAGACAAAGAAGACAGAUUACAUCAGACCCAGAUUGGUUUUUCCAGUUCAGAAGGUGACUUCAGUGAUUUCAGGUAUCUUCAGCCGCAAGAAACCGCUUGAUGGUGAAAACAGAGAACAGAGAGAUGGUUCUGCAGAGGUUACUGAAUCUGAUGAAACCUUUUCUAUUAAAAACAAGCAAAACCCAAUUCAGAAUAAGGAGAGCUUUUGGGAAAUGGCAAGAAUUCGACUGGAGAUACUCAUCUUAGGUCAAAGAUUGAUGAAGACGAGAAGACAAAGAAGCUUAAGUGAGAGUAAGGGAGAAGAGGAGCUGUGCAAGAAGAGAAUACUAAUGGGUGAAAGAUGCAAACCCAUAAACAAGUCCGGUGUUUUGCAGUACGGUGGUGACGGUAUCCUCCUACCCGAUCCAUGACCUGUUCAUGUAGAAGUGUUAGUGUUAGUGUAGUUUCAAUUUCUUGUUGAUUCACUAAUUAGAAAUUUGCAGAGAGAUUAUGCAACUUAAUUCAUGUAAAAUAUCAAAGAGAAGUUUAUAUAUUUUUUGCCAUAUGAACAUACUACACAAAAUUCAUUAAAAAAAUGAAUCUUCUUAAACUGUUAAUGGGUUUACUCCUUGUUAGUCUUCACAGUUUCAACGAAUACAAUUCAAAUUAGAAAAUGGCUCUGGAGCUACCUUUGGAACAGCUUUCUUGACGGUCCCUGGUACUCCAAAAACAUUCCAAAGCCUAAGAGUCUCGUCUGCUGCUGCUGAAGCAACUGUACAACCAUCCGGACUCUGUGCCAUAUGCAGAACUCGUGACGUAUGACCAGUGAGUUCAGCCAUUUUCACCAUGGAUGGGUACUUCCAAAGUGUAAGCUGAUUCUGUGUAAACCCAUGUGAGCUAAGCAACUCUCUUUCAUUUUGACUCCAUAACAAUGAACAAACUUGGGAGCCGGUGCCUACUGAAUUCAAGCAAGCACCAGUGUGUGUGUUCCAGAACUUAAUACUCAUAUCUCCUACACCACCACCAGUUGCAAGCAAACUCGAUUGGAAAGGGCACCACGCAAGAGCUUUCACAGCAGAUGUGUGUUCCUCAAACCUAUGCAGCCAUUGUCUAGUUGAGUUUGAGGAAACCACAGAAUGAUCCCAUACGUGUACCACAUUGUCGUUACCACCACUUGCUAGUUGCUGUCCUGAUCCUGACCACUUAAGACCACAAACAUCUUGCGUGUGACCCACGUAAGUUGCCACAAUGGAUGAUCUGAUCCUCACAUCAUUGUUGAUGACCCGUCCAUCCAUACCUCCAGUAGUUAAGAUGUGAUUGUUCCAUGCCAAUGAUCCUACUCCUGACUGGUGACCACCUUUGAAUGUUCUCAGUUUACGUUUGGAUUUAGAAUCCCACAGCUGCACUUCAGAGUUUUCAAGACCAACUGCGAGAUUAUAGCCAUCUUGCGCCCAGUUAAUACUCGUGACAGGUCCGGUCUCUUCAUCAACGGUCACAAGCUCAGAUGUAGAGCCCUUGGAAGCAUCCCACAAGUAAACAGUGUGUCCCAAAGCUAUGGCAAGGACAUUAGCACUGCCCCAGUCCAACAAGUUAAGGUAGAAGUCAUCAACUAUGUCAGGUGCGUCCAAGGUUCUCUCACAAGUCUGAGGAAUGUAUCUACGAGGCUUUACGGAUCUAGGGUUUUGGUGAAGAAGAUAAGAAACAGAGCUAUUAUUACUAGAAAGCAGAGCUUGAGGUUUGUUUCUAAAAGCAAGAAUCCUUGUUUUAUUCAGAUUCAUCGUCUCAGCUAAUUGCUCCAUGUAGGCUUUUCUUGAUGGUGAAGUUACCUCAUCUUUAACUUGUCUUCUUCCUUCUGUAAGAACGUAGUGAGCAUAGUCAAAAUCCAUGGCGGAUCUGUUGGGUAUGAAUCUGUCUAAGUUGUCCUUUGAUUGUUUCCUGGGAAGAAAGUGUUCUUGAUUUUGACACCACGCCUUCAUACCUGUAUCCAUUUUUACUCUGCUUAACACAAAGAAACACAAAGAGAUUAGAGAAGAUAUCUAAAUUAGUAUACGAUGAUCAGAUUUAAAGAAUAUAUAGAAACAAACACAAAAGAGAUUAAACGAAAUAAGACAAAGAGACUAAUCUAAUAAAGCCCUGCAGAGAAAGAAACGUUAGUCAAUUCAAAGUUUGGUAACACAGAGAGAGAAGAGUUUCGUCAAGUCGCUGAUGAUGUGAGAUGAGAGCUAAUAAUAUGAUGGAGAAGGUGUCAAAUUUGUGAUUGUAUUUAUAAGAAACUAGUGUUUAUACAAUAUUAGGGUAUUUUGCUAACCUUGAUUUAAUAAUAUAGUUGUUUUUUACAACAACGGUUAUAUUGAUUUUAGUAACAUGGAAAUCAUAUCCAAUUUAGAUUUCCUCAUACAUAAAUGAAAAAAAAUAUAAAUACAAUUAUUGGAAAAUACAAGUGUUAUAUUAAUAAAAGUAUAUCAUUAUCCCUAUAUUAGUAAAAGAGAAGUACAAAAAGUGUUUCCGGGUCGGGUCAAUUUCAAAAAAUUACCCGAAAUUUGUAACUGGAUCUUUUAAAAUUGGAUAGAUUAAUGGGUUUGGAUACAUACACCGGAUACUUUCCAAAUCUAAUUUUAGGAUUGUAUUAUUUCCAUAACUAAUUAUAAGAUUUACUAAUAUUUCUCUAACUAAUUUAAUACAAUCUAUUUAAAAAAUAUUAUUCUUCUUUCACUUUUAUUUGAUAUUAUUUUUAAUUUAUGAUAUUAUACUAUAUAAUAUAAAUAUUUAAUAAAAAUUUAACUUUUUUUUCGCAUAUGUUGCAAUUUGAAUUUUCAAAACGGACAUAUAAUACUCAACNNNNNNNNNNNNNNNNNNNNNNNNNNNNNNNNNNNNNNNNNNNNNNNNNNNNNNNNNNNNNNNNNNNNNNNNNNNNNNNNNNNNNNNNNNNNNNNNNNNNNNNNNNNNNNNNNNNNNNNNNNNNNNNNNNNNNUAAAACUUUUAGAAUUUAAAAUAUCGAAAUAUUUUUUUGAAGAUAUAAAUGUAAUUUUUGGAGACAUAACUUUUAUUGAUAAAAUAUAUUAUAUAUCAAAAUAUGUAAAUUUUAGAUAAUUCACGGGUAAUUUGUUAAAAUCACAAUUAUAAUGAUAAAACGAGUUACGAAUAAUGUUUUUUACGAAAUGAAUUCUGUUACGGGUUGGACUUUCAAAAAAUAUAUUGUCAAUAUGUAAUUUUUACGUAUAUUCCUACUUUUACUACAAAAAUGCCAAAAUGAAUAAUUUAUCGACAAAUAUUAUUUAGUGCUGUUAAAUUUUCACCGUGUUUUUAAUUGUAUCAAAACUCAUUAUAUGAUUAUUUACUCGCUUUUUCCUUUAUUAUUUUAUUUAAACUUAUUAUACAAAUAUAUGAUUUACCGUAAUCGACUGCACUCUAACAAAAUUAAAAUGUAACAUAUUCUAAUCCGAUAAAAGUUAUAUAUAUGUAAUUAUUUCCUCCGCGCUGUAGCGCGGGUCCGGACCUAGUCAUUUAAUGAAGAGAAGAUACACUUACAAAAAAUGGAAAUUAAUUAAACUCACAGCUCAAAAAUAUGGAAAAUCUAAUUCUACAACGGUUAGAUUUGAUAUCAUAAUUAAUGUUUUUAGUAUAGCAAAUAUGGAAAAUCUAAUGCUACAACGGUUAGCAAAUAUGGAAAACAAUAAUAUAGUUCACUUCUAUAUAUAUGAUUUACCCUGAACCGUGUGUGUUACACUAUCAUCCCAAUUCUCUCAAAGUUUUUGUUUUUGUCUCUCUCUGAUAAGAAACUAACCCUAGCUUCUUCUCUGUUUUUUAUUUUGGUGCAAACAACAACAAUGUCGACGAAGAAGGAAUCGAAACUGUCUGUGAGAAACCAAACUUGUUUCAAGAAACCUUCGUCACUCUCUUCUGUUUCAAAAAAGAAGACCACUAUGAAUCUGUCUUUGAGAGAACAGACCAUGUUUAAGAAAGCCUCGGAGCUUUCAAUUCUCUGCGACAUCGAAGUCUGUGUUAUAUACUAUGGCCGUGACGGAGAACUCGUAAAGACAUGGCCGGAAGAUAGAACUAAGGUUCGAGACAUGGCAGAGAGAUACAGCAAACUAGACGAGAGAGUGAGACGCAAGAAAAGGACCAACCUUUCUCAGUUUCUGAAUAAGAAGAUCCUCAACGACAAGAAGACAUCUUUUGAUAACAAGGACAACAAGUUCUACGAGAAAGUCUUGGAGAUGCAGGCUUCGUUAGAGACUGGUCUACGGAUGUUACAAGAUAAGCUGCGGUUACUCCAACCACAGAACCAAACAGAGUCAGAUCAGUGUCGUGCGGUGUCUUCUUCUACCAAGGAUCCUCAUCAACAAUGGACAAAAACAGAGCAAGACUUAUCUACGUCAUCAUUGAGUCAACAUCAUCAGAGCAAAUUCUCAGUCUUUCUCUAUAACCAUGGAAACGGUAGCUUCUGUCAACUCCCUGACUCUGUUUCUAGCUUUGACCCAUCGACGAGUACAACUUUACUUGGGACACAAGGAUCUGGUUUAAGAAGUAACUGCAACAACUUUGAUCUUCCCAUGGUGUUUCCUCCUCAGAUGCAGACACAGUCCUCACUUGUCCACUUUGAUCAGUUUGCAGGGUGGACUCAGCCACCGUCGUCUUUUGUAGAUCCAAUGAUGUUCUCUUGUUACAAUUGAAUUAGGUCUUGUUCCACGAUAUGAUCUUUGAUUAGGUCAACGUAUUAUUAUUUUCUAUUAUGUAUGUAUUCUCACUUUUGAAGUUAGAUUAUCACUUUAACUCCUCUGUUACCAAAAACAGUCUCUUCUUGUAAGUAAUCCAACUUUAUAAUCCUUUGAAUUGUAUCAUUGUAUGUUUUCCUAAGUAUGAAUGUGAUGUUUUCAAGUUUCUAAAACAUUCUUGGCUUCUUCUACUUUUUGUCUGAGUUGUAAAUUUGAGAACUGUUAAGUCUGUUACCACAGUUUUGCAACUUGUUCUGUUUGCAUGUGAAGUUUAAGUCUAUCCUACCUGGAAAUAAUGCUGCCUAGACUUCUUGAGAGCUUUCAGAAUCUAACAUAAGAAACAUUUUUUGUUUGUAUCUUCUAUGCUAUUCAUAUCUCUGUGUGUUUGUGUAUUUAAUAACAGAAUUUGGAUGUGACCACAGACAAUGAGGAACUAACACUGGUAAUACAGCUGAGACAGAAACAAAACAUGAAUAUUGUAGAGAACUAGCUCUUUGAGUUAUCAAGAAACAUGUUCUGUAUUUGAGUUUGUUGUUCUAUGCUAGAUCAAGGGCGUGUCUUCAUGGAGAUCUUCUUACAUUACCUUGACCAUCUACCACUUUGGUCUAUGUCAUGAUUAGAUUCAGACUAACGUUUCUAGCUUGUUCCUUAUGUUGAAUUUGGAUUUGUGUGAGGUGAGGUAUGUGACGUUUGUCUAUAGCUUAAUUUAUGCUUGAACAGUGACCACGCUAAAAAAAGACAAACCGACCACAAUUUGACUCGUUGUUCUUUGCCCCUUGACCAAGGUAACUUACCAAAUUAUGAUUUGUCGGUACCAACAAGAAUCAUGUGGUUCAAGCUCUAUUGUCGCUUUAUUUCCCUAAUUUGUCUUUGUUCUUUUUACCUAAUCCCAUAAGAUCUUUUGCUAGCUUCUUUGGUCGUUUUAUAAAUAUUAGGUUCUCAACUUCUCAUUAGUGUCUGGUUCAACUCAACACCUACAACUUUGUUGAGAGACACGACCAGAUUAGAAUCAAGGGAGCUCGGGUUCAAGUCAGGUAAGUUCGUUUUUCAUCUUUAUCUGCAAAGUUUGUUUUGGUGUUUUAGUCUGAACCCAGUGAAAAUCUCAGUUUCAAAUUCAAGAAGUCGGUUUAUUGAACCGGUUCUGAAAGAAGAUAAAAAAUAAGUUAUGGGUAAAUAAUUAUGGGCCUUAUACUAACUUAAUGGGCUUUUUCCAAUAUCAUGCAACAUUUGGCAUAUUUCUUUUUCCCAUUGACUUUUUUCUUUACCCUACAGUUAUAAACCAGCCAAUGAAAAACCAUACAACAGUUUUGUCAAAACAGCAUAAAUAGUUAAACUCACUCAACAAUUAAUACUUCCAUAAACUUGUUUUACGAUUUCUUUUUUGUUCUUUAAUAAUUUUACGAAAAAUCUUUAUCAAUUGAGCUAUUAACACUUGGUUCCAACAGAUCCGAAACCAAAACAUGUUAUAUGGUCUCGUCCUAAAUGUUACUCGAAUCGGCGACUUCUAAACUUAAAUAUUUAUAUUUAUUUAGUUUCGCUAAAUUUAGUAUGUUUUUAAUAGUAGCUAGUUUUCUUUUUUGUCAUCGAUUUUUUUUUGCAAAUACAUUUCAUUAUCUUAGCCAAAAAAAAGUUUUAAAAACCCUAAAAAUGGCUAUAUAUGUACUAAGACUUGAGAGUGACUUAGCCGAGUGCACCGCCCCACAUAUGAUAACUCGUUGCCAUGUGUGGUAAGAGUGGAACGUUUUAUCCAUAAGAGUUCCUAAUAGACCUCGAGAUAACCGAAUCCAUCAUGAUGAUCAUGUGAUCGAUGGUUCUAGACUAGGUUCGGUUGCCAAACUAUGAACUUCCCAACCAAAAAUAUCGAGCAAUCUCUUUGCCCAGUGCGCACACCAACAAAGUCUCAUAUGUCCAUCACGUGUUUAUGCAUAGGUCAUAUGACUCAUUAGAGUCAUUACCGAACACGUAAUUGUUUUUUAGUUCCAUGAGAUUGGAAAGAUACGGAGAUCUCAUAAUCUAUUUUUAGCAUGUUACUGUUUUUAUUACUACACUACAAUGAAAUACAUACUUUGAAUGUCCAUUUUAAAAUGGUUUGAAUAUUCUUAUAUCCAAUAAUCCAACCUGUAAAAAAAAAACCCUUUUCUUUACUAUAUCAAUUUGAACUUUUUAUUUACACGUCCAAAAAUAUUUGUUUUAAAAAGGAUUUAUCAAAGAAGAGAGAUUUGGUGUUGCAUGAUUGUUGCCGACAUAUUGGGGAUUCAUUUCAUUUCAUCCAACGAAUGAAUCAGUGUUUCUUGUUUUCUUAUGCGUGUCCCACGACCGUCACAAGCGGUCACAACCACAGUAGUGUCCAGUCCCCAUAAUAAUUGUCCUACUGACUUAUUCUCCCUUUCUCGAGUAAUGUGAAACCCCUAAAGAGAGAGAUAGAGAGAAGAACCUUCAACGUCCAAGUUCGUCACGGCUUUAACUAAUUAUUGUGCGACCUGUCACGUUACGGUUUCCAAUUUCGGUUCAUUCCCUUGCUCUUCUUAAGUUGUCUUUCAUCUAAUCGGAAUUAGGUCAUCCUUAAUGGCAAGUAAGAUAUUCUUUUAAAGAAAUUUAAGUUCUAAGAAUUGCCAUUAAAGAUGGUCUAAUAGUUAUUUGAUGUAAUAAACAAAUCGAACUAGCUAAGCUAGCUACAAUAGUAAGCUACGUGAGUUUAGUUAACCGAAAUCGUCGAACUAAAUCGGUUUAUUUGGUCAUCAGAUAAUCAAAUCAGUUUGGUUCUCGGUUAUUUAAAUUCUACGAAAUUGAAUUGUUUUUUUCGAAGUUUCUCGGUUUAAAUUAGGAGAAUAGAAUAAAAAUGGUUAAAUCAAAUAAAAUUAAUUAAUUUAGUUCGAAUUGAUAUAAGUUUUGGUUAAAAAUAUGUUUAUUUUAUUUUUUUAACAUAAAUGGAUAACUGACUAAACCUUAAACCAAAUAUGACUCAAAAAUUUUCCGAAAUUGAACCGACUGCUAUACGGAUUAUGAGCAAAAAAUUGAACAAUAUGGUUUGGUUUAGUACAGACCAAUCGGUUUGGUUUAGUUCAGACCAAUCGGUUUGUAUGUAAACGCAGGCCUAAGCUAAGACCAAUCAACCCCUUUUGGUGAGUUGUGUCUAUUGCAGAAAAUUAAACUUUAUAAUAAGUUCAAAGAACGAAUAGUGUUAGAGAUAUUUUCGUGUGAUUGAUGAUUAUUUAUAUUACUUUUCUUGAAUCUCAAUCGAUCUUAAUCUAUAAAUUAUUUAUAUAUAUUUUACCUUUAUAGAGUAUUUCUUUUAUAGUUUCAAUGAUUUUAGGUAAAAACAAACAUGGCCCAUUUCACAUGUACGAUAUUAUAUGAUUGUUUUUUUGUUGUUGUUGUUGUAUAUAUAAUAAUAUACAUAAAACUGUUUAUCUAUACUUUAGGAAUUAGGAUCCCUUAUGAUAAACGUGUAUUGCUACGACCUACGUACUUUAAUAGUGUAUGUAUUUUUGCAUUGCUCAAACUCUUUUUUUGUCAUCUGAAUAUAUUUAUAAAAGCAAAAGUACAGAUUACAAAAGCCGGCAGAAGAACAACAAAUCCCCGGAAACCAAACCCCACAAAGGGGAGCAAAUGCCCAAAAGAGGAAAACAUAAGCCGGCGAACGACAGAAAUGUUCCCGAAGUCACACAGCCGGAGAAAAACGAAAUAUCCCCGGAUACUAAACCCAAUGGAAAAAGGACAUGAAAAUACAAGGUAAAUAUUUCAAACAGAUACGUAAGAGGACGAAACCAUAAACUAUGACAGAAGCAAGAGGCUAAAACCUUAAGCGGAAAGAAAGACUAAAGAACACAAGGACACACUUCUUCUGAACCACCUGCGGAUGAGAUUUAUUUAGGAUGCCCUCGGCCAAUCCUAAAAUAACAUCUACCUCCUCCUAUCACGACGAGAGCUGUUCUCUCGAAACCAAGAACCAGACUUCAGAACCCGACAAGCAAACCUAUGAGUUGAGAAAACCUCGAGCACGCUUUCGGAUACGACUACGACGACUGCCACGUCCAUUAAAAGUCUAACUAGAAAUCUUCAAAACGCGAUCCUAUCUAAACAGAUUCAGGAAAGCAAGGACAAGGAGGGAGGCCCAACCACUCAAAUAACAUCACUAACGAUGAAAAAUCGGGAGAGUUGUCAAACACAGCGAGUCAACACCAGGAAGAAGAAGCAGCUGCAAACUUAGCGGUCUAACAAUCCAAACAAACAAAUGUAACUUCUUCAUAGCAAGGAAACAUACCCAACAGAAUUCAGAGGUUGAGACGAGAUGACUAAGAGCGGGAAGAAGAGCAGCGACAGGACAAAACCUGACUAUAGCCCAGACGACACUCAACAAACGGCAUAGAGACUAUCAACACAAGAGCGACUACACAAGGGACAAAGCAAGCAAAACCAAGGCAUAAUUCUUAGAGCAGCACCGUAGAUCCUAUACAUCCGGAGCCAAGAGAAUUGCUAUAGCCAAGGGUCCCAAAGAUAAAGACGCUCCAACCGAACCCGCAAAACACAAAAUCAACCUCGAAGCAAACCAAAGAAAACCCACACGCAUGCCGAAGAUACUCACCCAAACCUAACAAAACGCCUCAUCUAAUUGAAGGAGAAAGGACCAGAUGGAAGCUUACCCGACCAAUAAACACACAAAAGUGCAGAAAGACAGAACCGAAAGCUUCAUCAAAGAGACGAAGACAACGCCGGAUCUGACAAAGAGAGAAAAAACUUCUCCUGAUACUGCUGAGGGAGAACGAACAGCGCUCAAAGCACCACCGAAGUAAACCUCACGGUAAAGACCAUCUAUUCAGCUGAGAAGCUAUCCACCACCGAUCCACCCGGAAAAAGCUGAGGCAACGCAAGAGUACAACCAAACAAAGAAAAACAGAGCAGAACUGUCCCUCUCACGGUUACGGCGAGAAGCGCCGAUCACCGGAGAGGACGAACGGGAAUCGUAUUUUGAUGGACGGCGGCUAGGGCAACUUCAAAGAGCGAGGCAUUGCUCAAACUCAAAUUGGCUUUCUUUAUUGUGCUAUUUACUUAUUUAAGAAGGUCCUCUCACUUGGAUUUUUUUAAUUAGUAAAUUAUACAUGUAAUGUGCAUGAUGAAAUUAAUGAUUACUAAGUCCAAUACAUAUAUUAUAUGUAUAUAUUGUUAUUACAUUAUAUAUAUAUAUAUUAUUGUUUUAAUAUUAACGUGUAAAACCUUUCAUUUCGAUUGUUUUAUACAUUAAAAAAUAAGAUGAAUUGACUCGUUCAAGAUUCGAAUAAUUUAUGCCUUUGAUUUGUUCAUUUGUUCGAAUAAUACGGUUUUGAGUUUUAAAUCAGUGAUUUAUAUAAGAGUGAAUAUAUUUUCAUAUUUUUUUCAAAUAGCUAUUGAGAGAAUAAAGACAUAAUUAUUUAGAUAAGCUAAGCAUGUCUUUUUGUAGCCACUAUAAAUGGAUGAAAUACUAUACUUAUAUGGUUUUCAACCCAAUGUAUACAAAACUAAUCUUGAUUUCGAUUUAAUAUCCAUGAAAUUUGCAUCUUACGGCAAAGAAAAAUGUGUAUAUAUGAAAAUGACAAGGAUGGUGCUUGAAUUAUAUAGACAAAAUUGAAUUUAAAUAAUUUUAAGACGAUUUUGUCGUUAUUAUUAUCUGUUUAUGGGACCGUUGAUUUAUCAAUGUACUAUGUUCUUUUUCAAUGUCGACUUCUUAUUUUUUUUAGAAUUUUCACAUAGUUUAAGUAAGAUAAAUAUCAAAGAAAAAAAAAAGAUAAAUAUCAAAGAGGUUGUAGAACUCUAAUGUAACAAAUUAUUUUAUCUACUUUUAAUCAUAUAAAUGGACGAAGUGUUAUUUUAAAGUUUUAUGUAGUUAUCUACUGCAUUAUAUAUUUAUAUUUUAUACAAUAUUGAAUAUUUAUUAUUUUAGAUUCUUAUAUAAUUAUGUAGUGUAUUAAUUAUUGAUCUGUUUAUACAACUAUAUUAUAUUUAAAUUUAACAUGAUUUCUUAUAGAGCAUGCCUGAUUUCUAACAUCUAUUGCUUUCUAUUAAUUAUUGCAAAAUUUCACUGAUUUUUAUUUAACGAGCCAAAAUUGUGACAAAUAAAUCAAUUACUUUUACUAUACUUUUUAAAAAGUUAUAUUGUCAAGUCAUUUCUAUCGACUUCAUGCUUUUUCUUACCCAUCUUUUUUUUUUGGUUGGUAGUCAAAAUCCACACCUAAACUAAUCGAAAACUUUAAAAUCUCUGAAUUAUUAUAUAUAUAUAUAUAUCAUAAAUAUUUCAUAAAAAGGAAAAUAAUAAAAAUUAUUUAUUCAAUAAUUCCUCACUAUUGCAGUAAAUAGUAUGCAACUCAAUUUUAUUAUUUUAUUCUUUACCGCAAAGCCUACAACUCAAUUUGAUAAGAGAAAGGCAUUUAAAUCUGAAAGUGAUUGUAAGAGAUUUUAUAUACUUACAAAAUUAAUAUAAUCAAACUGACAUCUGCAUAAGUUCAUAGACAAAGUGAAAGUUAUGAAUUUUAAAAUUAGUUUGAAUAUUGACCUAAAUUUUAAAAUAAGUUUGAAUAUUUUAUUCAUACGUAUACUAUAUAAUACAUCAACUAUACAAUAAUUAAAUAGAUUCACACACCCAUACAAUAUUUGUAUAUUGUAAUUUAUAUCGAUGUCGUUAACAUGGCAGAGUAUAGUUUCCCACGAUAAUCAUAUGACACAAUGCCAAAUAAAAUUAGCAAUAUCUUUCAUAACAAAUUUUUAUAUAAAUAAUAUCAAUGAUAACAUCAUAUAUGUUUUCCUAACUCUCGAUCGCUUACCUAAUUUUAUGCCAGUUAAUAUGAUUUAAGUUAUAAUAUUAUAUUGUAAUUGCUAUUAUUCGAAUAAUGAUAACUAACAACAUAAUGUUUUAAGAAAAUAAUCAAAGAACCCAUAACGGAACUGUUGACAUUCUCCAUGGAUAAUGCUAAAUAUCUAUGUCACUUUCUUAUUUUAUUUAUCUUAGUUAUGUAUAUAUUAUAAUUAGUUAAGUUUUGACUUCUGCUAUAGUUAAAGAAAGAAAAAUAUGCAAAUAAAAAUAAGUGAAGAAUCAACAAAAAAAAAAAUUCAGAAUCAACAAAUUAUUAUUAUUCAAAAAAUUCAGAAUUUUUUUUUUGUUUGGUUAUUUUUCUCGAAGAACAGUGAAUUUUUACUGAAUUUUUUUUUUUGGAUCUGAUUUAUUUGACCUUUGAUAUAACGAUUGGGACACCAGCCACCCAUUUCAUCAUGUACACAUUUUUUUUUCUUUAUUUCUGAUUUAUAAUAUCAGAAAUAUCAAAUCUCAACACCAUUAAAAAUUAUUAAGUAUUUUAACAAACAAACAAAAAAACGUUAUGGUUGACAUAUUAAUUUUUCAAUUUUAGUAUAAUCCCAAACAAUAUUGUUCUGAGAAUAUAUAUUACAAAUCAUACAUAAUCAACAAAAAGAUAUAUAGUAGAGAAAAAUGUAAUUAUUGAAUAAUAAUAAUUGUGGUACAUUUGAAAACAUUAUAAAAAUACAAACAUAAUCAACAAAUAUCUUGGAGAGAAAUGUAAUAAUUGAAAAUUUAUUAUAUGAUUUUUAUAUCAACCACAAAAGACCAAACCAAAGACGAUGUCGUGCUACUUCUUUGUCCUUUCUCCCUACCACAAGAUUAAAUAAAAUGAACAAGAGAGAAGAACAGAAGAACACAAACGUACCAGAAAAAAAUAAAUAAAAAUAUCAAUCUCUAUUGUUUCCUUCUCUUUGGAGCUUUAUAAUGGAUUCUGAUAUUUUCCUCUUGGCUUUGCUCCAUUAGCUUAAUCUUCUUCUUCUUCAGCCUUUGGGUUGUUAAAACGUCAUCUUUUUCUGAGCUUACGUCAUUUCUCCGGCGUGACACUUCAAAGGUCUCUCUCUCUCUCUCUCUCUCUUUCUAUAUCUCUUUUAGAGUUUAGACAUAUCUAUAGUAAGAAUCUGAUUGGUAUCCAAAUGCAAGCUUUCUUGAAUUCUUGGGUUCUGUUUUUUUCAUCCUCUCCUAUGUCUCAAAGUUAGAAAGUAUUAUAUAUCUUAAUCUAAUGGUUACAAAAAAUCAGAAAAGCUUUAAACUUAAUUUUGAAGCAAAAUCUAUGGGAUUAAGUGUGUUUGCUUUCUCUUAUUAAACCUUUUAGGGUAUUCAUAUGUUAUUAUAUAUUAUUUAUUUAAGUAUUAAGAAGAAACAAAGUUCUCUCAUAUGUGUUAAAAUUAGUUUUCCUGGAAAAAGCAAAAGAGAAGAAUCUUGGAAUCUUUGCAACUUGGUUUUCAUUUCCUUAUUAAGAAAUAUCUCUAGAUGUGUGUUUCUAUAAACAGAAACUCGAUUCUUUUUUCAUAUUUUUAUCAAAAAGAUAAAUCUCAUAAACUUGGGUUUCCAAUGGAAUUCCAUGUCAGACUUAUGAAUAUUCCACUAAUAUCUUUACCACUAUGACUCAUCUUCUUACGUUUAAGUUUCAACCUCUGUUUCUAAACACUUCUUGUUUCUCUUUUUAGCAGAUUCAAGAUCGAGUAACGCUUAACGAGAAAGAUUAGUCGUUGUUUCUUGAUAUUUUCAUCUUUUUGGGGUGAUUUAAAAAAUGGGGCAUUUCUCUUCGAUGUUCAGUGGGUUAGCUCGAUCAUUUUCUAUAAAGAAAGUGAAGAACAACAAUGGAAACAACGACGCAAAGGAGGCUGCUGAUGAGAUGGUGAACGAUGCGAAGAAGAAACAACUGAUUCUGAAAUCCUCUGGUUAUGUUAAUGCAGAAGGAUCUAAUAGCUCGGCUUCAGUUUUCUCCAAACGCGGCGAAAAAGGCGUUAACCAAGAUUGUGCUCUCGUUUGGGAGGUACAUUACUACUCUCUUAAGUUACUAUUUGAGUUUGCAUAUUUGUUUGUUAGACCACUAGGUUCUUUUAGAUGUUAGCAACUUAAUAGCAGCUAGAUUUAUGUAAUCCUUUACGCGAUUUUACCGCGUUAUGAUUAUGUUUAUAUAGCCUUCUCUUUGUGUCUUUUAAGUACUUAAUUUUCACAAUACUCUUAUGAUAAAGUACUUGUUAUAGUAGAAAUGUAGAAGUCUCAUUUUAUAUAUCUUUGGAAAAACAGGGAUUUGGGUGCCAAGAAGAUAUGAUCUUCUGCGGUAUAUUCGAUGGACACGGUCCAUGGGGUCACUAUGUAGCCAAACAUGUAAGAAACUCAAUGCCUUCAUCACUUUUAUGCAACUGGCAAAAAAUUCUUGCUCAGAAAACACUAGAGCCCGACCUCGACCUCGAAGACUCUAAUAAGAAACAAUCAAGAUUCGAGAUAUGGAAGCAAUCCUAUCUCAAAACAUGUGCAAUGGUUGAUCAAGAACUUGAACAACACCGCAAGAUCGAUGCUUACUAUAGCGGCUCAACUUCUCUAACCAUUGUUAGACAGGUAAAACUUAAAAUGAAAUAUUAACUUUUUUUGAUAAUUUUUAUAUGUUGUUUACUGAUGAAUGGUUUCUUGGCUUAUGUAGGGUGAAGUUAUUUAUAUAGCAAAUGUAGGCGAUUCAAGAGCGGUACUAGCCACGGUUUCGGAUGAGGGAAGCUUAGUUGCGGUUCAGCUCACCCUCGAUUUCAAACCGAAUCUACCACGUUAGUUUUCUCAACCCCUCUUAGAAAUCCUACCUUACUAUGUAGUAAAAAUUGUAGCAUUCAAAACAUGACUCUUAUUUUAGUAUACCUUUGAGUCUAAAUUCUUAAAUUUGUUUUGAUCUGAAAAAAAAAAACAGAGGAGGAGGAGCGGAUAAUCGGAUGCAAAGGGCGGGUAUUUUGUCUAAAAGAUGAGCCGGGAGUUCACCGUGUGUGGCAACCAGACGCAGAAACCCCGGGGCUCGCAAUGUCGAGAGCGUUCGGUGACUACUGUAUCAAAGAUUAUGGAUUGGUCUCAGUCCCUGAAGUCACUCAAAGACAUAUCUCUACUAAAGACCAUUUCAUCAUCUUGGCUAGUGAUGGGGUAAAAAAUACUUACUAAACCUUUAAACAAACAAAAUACUGCAUAGUUAAACUUAUAUACUCUUUUGGUUAAUUGUGAUUAUACACCACUCAUUUAUUAUUUAUAGGCAAAGUUUUUAACCAAUCUUUGGUUUAAAUAUUAUAGAUAUGGGAUGUGAUCUCUAACCAAGAGGCUGUAGAGAUCGUCUCCUCAACGGCUGAGCGGCCAAAGGCGGCUAAGCGGUUAGUACAGCAAGCGGUUCGAGCUUGGAAGAAAAAGAGACGAGGAAUCUCGAUGGACGAUAUGUCUGUGGUCUGCCUCUUUCUCCAUUCUUCUUCAUCUUCAUCUUUAUCACAACAUGUUCAUCAUGCCACCAGUUUGAAGUAAAAAACAUUGCUUUGUAAAUAGAUCAGAGAUAGCCUUACAUUUGUAUUCAUUUUGAAGUUCAACAAAAUGCGUUUUUUGGUCGCAGCCAUUAUGAGUUGAUUUAUUGUCUCAUUGUUUGUAACUUGAUACCCAAAAGAAAGAACAGAACAAUGAAGUAAACCAUAAGAAAAAGGCCCUUAGAAAAAAUUAAAACUCUUUACAACCAAAAUGGGUUAUUUUCAAUUAUAAUAUAGUUGGUCCAUUAGUUCUAAUGGACUAAAGUGGGUAUGUAAUGUUGGAUGUCUCGUUUUCAAUUAGUGGGCUUUGGCUCGAUUUGGUUUCUUUCCAUUGUUAGCAGUUGAAUUUGUGAUGUUGAUGUUUGAUCCAAUAUGUAUUCUAAACCAAUGAAGUAACGUUUUUGUUCGACAUUAAAAGGCAAAAGUAAUCUUACGUGGAUUUGUCCAAGUUAUAUAUAUAUUUACACUUGUUAGUAUUUUACUGUUUUUAGAUGCACACAAUAAUUAGUGUGAUGAUGAUAGCUUUUUUAAUUUUCGAUUUUUUGAUGGAUCUCUGUUUUUGUUUUAUCUACUCCAAUAGAGACAGGCAUGCAUGGUUUGGUUGUUGAUUUUCAAGUUUCCGUAGUUUUAAUAAUGUCAAAAUACAGUUUAUAGGGCUUCUUUUGUUUCGUCGCCCUGUAGCAAAAGCUAUAGAUUGUUGUUUGUUGCCGUCGCCGCGGUUUUAAUCGUUGAUGCUGAAUUUAAUCGACAUUCAAAAUUUAUAACCGCAGAUAGAUGCAGUCAGGGGCGGAUCUACAGUGUGUUGAGGUGUGGCACAUAUCCCAUACUCACUAUUAAUAAACGUUCACUUCAUUACCAUACUGCAAUGUUUACUUAGCUUAUUUGGUUAUUCGUGCCCCAUGCAGUGAUGAAACGCUAAAUUAGAAGAGUGAAGAGUGUAAACAUAUAGAUUGCAUUGUUACAUGCAUUGUGAUAUAUAGAAGAGUGUAUCUAAAUUAGAGAGGUUAUUCAGUUAAUGUGAUGUUAAAGAUGAAUUAAUUAGCACUUAAUCAAACCAAAUCAAUUGUUAUACUUAUACUUAUACCUAGAUGCAAACUACAAUGCCCAACCAUUUCAAAACCGUAUUAGUAUAUACAACAUCCAAUGUUUCUCUAUGUUUGAAUCUACCUAAAAAAAAUAUAAACUUAGGCUACGUAUGGUACCAAAUGUGAUGGCAUAGAACCGGCCGGUUUGAUCCGAUUUAUCCAAUUUAAUCUACUCAACCAAUGGUACAAAAGCGUUGCUAGGACAAGAGAACCUAAAACAGCAAAUGUAAUAUACGAUGACUCCAACCUUAACACAUAAAAUGGUAACAGAAAAAUGUCAAGUAGCCGAACACAUGCCAUAGAUUCGAUACCAAAUUGGAAAAAUAUUGCAAAAUCAACAAAACAGGUGCACAUAUAAUUGUAUUUGAAACUUCUAUACAGACCAAAAUAUUUGAGGUGACACAAUGAGCAUAGAUUCGUAUUCUUUGUGUUUGGAAGACAAUGAACUCAUUUUUGCAUUUGAUGUCAUCAUAUGAACAAUAUCUACAUAUUCGAUGAUGUCUAGUCUCAAGACCAACACAAUGUGAUCACCUAUCAUAAGUUCCUCCCCUAUAUAAAAACCCUCCACAACUCUUCACCUUGUUCUAAAUCAAUCAAUGUAGUAUCAUCUUAUGAAAAAUACAUGCAUCACAUCAUCAUAUCACCACAUACGUAAAUAUUUUCAUUUUCGUCGCGGUUUAUAAUCUUGUAUAUAUAUAUUUCUUAUUCUAAAAUCUAUCGUUAAUUAAGAUUUUCGAUUCUUGUUCUUUAAUUUUGUUUUUCUUGAUUUCUAAUAAUGUAUUUAAAUUUUAUUGUGAAUCUAUUUUCUGAAUUAAAAAAAAAUGAAAUCGGAAUAUCGGAUUGUAUGAAACACAGAUUAAUAUAUGAUAAAAAUGAUAUAUAAAUGUAUAAAUAUUUUAUGUGACUAAUAUUUAAAAGAGGAUAUGAAAAAUUAGCUAGGUCCAAUUUUUAUAUUGGUCCUCCCCAAAGCAAAUUGGGUCAAGGAAGUGAAGUCAACGAAGUAGAAGGAGAACGUGAGAGGUGCGAGAAUCUCUCGCAACUUGUAGAGGUAAGUCUUUUCACCUUUGUCGUCAUCCUUUUGAUUUAGGCUCAAGUCGGGUAGAUCUUAUUCUGGUCAGGUUCUAUCACACACCCACCUAUCUACAUUUUAUUAUUGCAUUUUUUAUUUAUUCUCUAUAGUAAUAGUAUAUGUAUACAUCAUUUAAAUAUUUGGCAUUCAUAUCCAAAAAAAAAAAAAAAGGUAAUGUGGACUGAUCCACAUUAACCACAGUGCUAUAGUUUAAUCUUAGUUCUUUUUUUUUAAGGGGUCAAACUCCUCAUUACUCAUUAAGCUUAUAAUUGUUUUUGGCUAAUUUCAUAAAUCUAUAUAUAUAUAUAUAUAUAUAUAUAUAUAUUAUGAGAUUUAUUUUUCUAAUUUUUUACAUUAGGGCACCUACAGUUUACAUAUGUUUUCCAUGAGAGACUUAACUUUUUUUUUUUUGUCAUCAACUUAACUUAAUUAACUAGCAAAACGUUUUAUUAGGUUUGGCCAAAAAAAUAAAGUUUAAUUCAUUUAUUUAAUUAAAAUAAUCCAUUAUUUGUCCUUUAGAUCCACAUUAAUUCGAGGUUAUAAUAAUAAAAAAAAGAUAGGCAGUAUUGUUAUUAACAUUAACUGAAAAUAAUUGUGAGAUUCAUAAUUUCAAAGAUGGUUAAUUACACUUUUUUUUUUGUUUUGCUUUAAUUUUUUUUAUAUAUUUAUCUAAACUUUAAAAUUCCUCAAACUACCACAUAAAAUGAUUCCUAAUUACAUUUACGAACUCAUUUUAGAAAAUUCCGUCUAAUAAACCUCAUAGCAAGAUUUCUGUGGUAUUUUGGAAUUUUAGGAUUUUGGUGGUAAAUUAGGAAAACAAAACGUAUAAAGUGGUGGUAGUGUAUAUAAAUCUUCAUAUUUGAACUAUAUUUAAAACUUUAGAAAGCUAAUUAAAUCAACGAAAAAAAAAAUCAAAAUGUCACAUUUCAACCUAACUACAUUUUGAUCUUUCGUUAGCUUAAUUAGCUUAUAUAUAUAUAUAUAUAUAUAUAUAUAUAUAUAUAUAUUUAUUAAUUUCUGGUGUCAUGCAUUUAAUCCAUCCAAUAAUUGGAAUUCCAGUAAGCAGCUACUAAUUAUUGAAACAGUCUCAGCCAUUUCACCAAUUAUGAAUGAAAUUAUAAACUAAGAGAUUCAUACUGAGAAUCUAAAUAUUUGUUAAUAUUAAGUGGGCAGCCUAUAAUUUUAUAUUUAACAUUGAUAAAAAAAUAUAUAAAUGUGAAAAUUAUAUAAAAGUUCCAAACUAAUCAAAUCUUAUAUUUAGAUUAAGUUUGUAUUGACAGGUGGUGGAACAAAUAUGAGUUUUUUAUAUGCUAAUCAGAUAAAAAUAAAACUCAUAUUUAGUUCUACCAACUGUUAAAGCACACAUUAAUCUGAUUAAGAUUUCCAAUAUUCACACACACACAUCAAAACCAAUAAUAUCUCUCUAAAUACAUUUUUUUUUUGAAAAAAACUCUCUCUAAAUACAUGUGAUUAUUCAUAUAUAUAUAUAAACACGUCAAAAAGUUUCUACAACGCCUCCAUAAAGUCUAUAUGCAAGAUCCAUAAUUUUUUCUAGGGUAGGCAUUAUUUGAUCUCCACCAAAUUUUAGUCACGCUAACGUAUUCUAUAAAACGUAUAAUCCUUAUUUCAAUUUAUCCAUUGAGAAAAUUCAGAGAUAUACAAUAUGGUCACGUAUGCAAUGUCUUUGUCUAUCUAAAAAUAAAAAAAAAUUGUCAACUUCUUAAACACCCGUACACCAAGUACACCUACAAAUCUCAAUAUGUACGCAUUAAUUUAGAGCUUGGAAAAAAAAGUAUUCACUACUUAAUUUGUCUACUUCUAUAAGAACUUAUCAACAACAUAUUUGCAUGCAAAUAUAUAUACAUACCCUUAUCUUAUUCUUAUGAAUUAUGAUAAAUAUAUAUAUAUCCAGCGAAAGUCCCAACGCAAAGCGGCGUGGUCUAUGAUAUAUAUAUACAUGACGUUUGCACAACUUUGGAAUAAACACUCAAAUUAGAGUUUAAUGAUUCUAUUGUUUUAAUGUGUUUAAACUUUAAAGUAUACUUACCUAACUAAUUAACUAUAAUUGCAUUUGCACGUCAUCGUUUUUAAAUAAAAUUAGCAAUUUUGUAUAAAGGUUCCAGAUCGUAAAAACCCUACGAUCGAUCUGACACGACGAUCUCGCGUACUAUCCACGUCAGACAAUCGAAUAUGCUAUUUAUUUUUUCUCUUCAUUUCAUUUUUAAAUAAUAUGUUCAGAUUUGAUUUUAAAAAAUAAUAAUAAUAAUACUAUCGGAAUUUUUAUCAUAUAGUUUUUUGGAGUCAAACAGAUAGGUACGGUCGAUGCACGUUAUGUAGGACCCGCAAACUGGUACGAAACUAAUCAUCUGCUACAGAUCUUACGAUACAUCCUCCAUUAAUAACCAAUCAUAUAUCGCCACGUGGAUAACUAACCAGGUGUUAACAGAUCAUUUAACAGUUGAGUUUCUCCGUACUCCAGGGGUGUUUUUGUCAUUUCAGCUUCUUACGUCAUCUUCUUCGUUGUUUCUUCUUCUCUUUUAUAUUGAAACCUCGAAAGAGAAAAAAAAGAAAAGUGAGAAAAAUUGAAACUUUCCUCACCGGAAAAAAAAUUCCGAAAGGUGUGUGACUGAUCUCAGAGUAAUGAACCCGAAUUUGAUAACCGUUAACCGAAUUCGGAUUCUUGAAAAACCGGUUCACCAUUCUUUACUCUAUCUCCGAGCUGUGUUCCUCUUCAUCCCGACUUAAAACACAACACAACCAAAAAGCUUUAAACUUUCUGAAUUAUAGAUCAAACCCAUUUUUUAAUUUUCCCUCUAAAUAAAAAGUUUCUUUUUUUUUGUUUUGUUUCUGUUGCAAACAUUUAAAUGUCGAUGUCUACAUCAAUUUUAUCCGUUUUGUCUGAAGAUCUUCUGGUUCGUGUCUACGAGUGUUUAGACCCACCGUGUCGGAAAACAUGGCGUUUAAUCAGCAAAGAGUUUCUCCGAGUCGACUCGUUGACUCGUACAACGAUCCGUAUCCUCCGAGUCGAGUUUCUCCCGGCGCUUCUCCUCAAAUACCCAAACCUCUCUUCCCUCGACCUCUCCGUCUGUCCUAAACUCGACGACGACGUCGUUUUACGUUUAGCAAUGGACGGCACCGUUUCAACGCUACGUAUUAAGUCACUGAACCUGAGCCGUUCAACCGCGGUUCGAGCCAGGGGACUUGAGACUUUAGCGCGUAUGUGUCACGCUCUUGAGCGCGUCGACGUGUCUCACUGUUGGGGAUUUGGAGAUAGGGAAGCGGCGGCGCUCUCGUCUGCUAAGGGGCUUAGGGAGCUGAAGAUGGAUAAGUGUUUGAGUUUAAGCGACGUUGGUUUAGCGAGGAUCGUUGUUGGAUGUAGUAAUCUCAAUAAGAUUAGUUUGAAAUGGUGUAUGGAGAUCUCUGAUCUUGGGAUUGAUCUUCUCUGUAAGAUUUGCAAAGGAUUGAAAUCUCUUGACGUCUCUUAUCUUAAGGUAAAUGGCAUAAAUUUCAAAACUUUGUUUGAAUUUGAUGGAGAUUGGAUUCAAAGUUUCGAUCUUUGUAGUGAACAAAGUGAGAUUGGCUGAUAUGUAUAGUUUUGUUUGUGAAUUUUGAUUCAGGUAACGAAUGAUUCGAUCCGGUCUAUAGCUUUGUUGCCAAAGCUUGAGGUUUUAGAUAUGGUAAGUUGUCCUUUGAUAGAUGAUGUUGGGUUACGGAUUCUAGAGAAUGGUUCUCCUUCAUUACAGGUGUGUUACUUUGUCUUCAUAACACAAAGCUUUUGAUCAAUUCAUUUAUUCGUAUCUUUUAAUAAAGUUUCAAGUGUUAUAAACAGGAGAUUGAUGUCACGAGGUGUGAGCGUGUGAGUUUAUCUAGCUUGAUUUGUAUAGUCAGAGGCCAUCCUGAUAUUCAAGUCCUUAAAGCCAGUCACUGUGUAUCAGUAAGUUUGCGAUUGAGUCCUUGAAUUAGUCUAGUUUACUUGGAAAAUGCACUCUUUAAUAUUUGUGAUUCACUUCACAGGAAGUCUCUGGUAGCUUCCUAGGGUACAUCAAAGGUUUAAAGCGUUUGAAGGCUAUAUGGAUCGAUGGAGCUCGUGUUUCUGAUUCUUCUCUUGUAACAUUAAGCUCUAGUUGUAGAUCUUUAAUGGAGAUUGGAAUGAGCAGAUGUGUUGAUGUAACGGAUAUUGGGAUGAUGGCACUUGCACGCAACUGUUUGAACCUGAAAACCGUAAAUCUAGCAUGCUGCGGGUUUGUAACAGAUGUAGCCAUCUCUGCUUUAGCUCAGACUUGCAGGACUCUGGAAACUUUGAAGUUAGAGUCUUGUCAUUUGAUUACCGAAAAAGGUCUUCAAUCGCUCGGAUGUUACUCCAAGCUUCUUCAAGAACUCGACCUUACUGACUGUUGUGGCGUAAAUGACAGAGGUAAAAGCAGAUAUAUAUGAACUCAACUCGUUUGUGUGUUUAGAUCUUAUCAGCUUUGGUAAUCUUAUGGUUUUUGGGAAAUUUUACCGCAGGGCUAGAAUAUAUUUCAAAGUGUUCAAAUCUUGAAAGAUUGAAACUUGGCCUCUGCACAAAUAUCUCAGACAAAGGGAUUUUUCAUAUUGGUUCCAAAUGUUCAAAGCUUCUAGAACUUGAUCUAUACCGGUAAAGUUCUUUUCUUGGUAGAUUCUUGAUCGAAAAUGUUUAAGACAUGGUUCUUUUUCUAAUCGAUUCUGUUUUUUUGAGUGCAGCUGUGCCGGUUUUGGAGAUGAUGGUUUAGCAGCUUUAUCUCGAGGUUGCAAGAGCUUGAACAGACUCAUUCUAUCCUACUGCAGUGAACUAACUGACUUUGGGGUUGAACAAAUCCGCCAGCUAGAACAUUUAAGUCACCUUGAACUCCGAGGGCUAAAGAAUAUAACCGGUGUUGGUUUAGCUGCAAUAGCGUGCGGCUGCAAGAAAUUGGGUUACCUGGACCUGAAACUCUGCGAGAAUAUCGAUGAUUCGGGUUUCUGGGCAUUAGCUUACUUCUCAAGAAACCUACGACAGGUAAAAAAAAACAAACACUUUUAUACAGAGAAGCAUCAGUUAGCAACAUAUUUGAUUCUUUGUGUUGUGUGUUUUGUUUGGCAGAUAAACUUAUGCAAUUGCUCGGUGUCUGACACGGCUUUAUGCAUGUUGAUGAGCAAUCUGAGUCGGGUUCAAGACGUUGACUUAGUUCAUCUAAACCGCGUGACUGUAGAAGGGUUUGAGUUUGCGCUAAGAGCCUGUUGCAAUAGGCUCAAGAAGCUUAAACUACUCGCACCUCUCAGGUUCUUGCUCUCAUCGGAAUUGCUAGAGAUGCUUCAUGCUCGUGGUUGCCGCAUUAGAUGGGACUGAAGAUGUAAAGAAAGAUAUAUGUUUCUUGCUUUGCUUAGACUGUUAUAUACGUUUUAGGUGUUUAUAAACUCAACGUUAAAAUAAGUAAAACGUUAGUGUGGAUGUUUGGUUUGAGCUUUAAGUUGAUGGUGUCUUAAAAAGUUUUUGCCCACUGUCAAAGUGGCAAGAGUUUAGUAUAACAAAUUGAUGAAAACAAAGCUCAUUUUUAAUUUUACAUUUUUUAGAAUUUAUUUAUUUUAUUAGAGUUUAUUUAAUAAUAAUUAUUAAGAUUGUAUGAUACCAAUCUUAAUUAAAUCAAGUUGAUUCGACAAGUUUGAUAUUGAUGUUAAAAAAUAAUAACUGAGGAUUUGAACUGUAUUGAAUUAUCGGAUUAAUGAUAUUUUAUUAUUUUCGUAGUAUUAAAAAAUCAAUUUUUUAGAUGUUUGAGAAUUGAAUUCAGUGGCUAAUCAAUGUAAAUAAGUUUGAAGUUGAGGAUAUAGUUUAUAUUUAUACUGCAAAAAAUACUAGUAUAGAUGUCCCUCCUUAAAUCUGAAAAAUUUAUAAAGUUUAUAAGUUAUUUAUGAAUUGUAACUACUACUCAAAACCUAUCCAAGUAUUUACAAGGUUUUGUAUUUAUAAGAUUAUAUAAGGUUUUAUACGGUAUUUAUAAAGUUUGCAAGAUAUUUAUAUAAAGUAUUUGUAAGGUAUUUUAAUGUACAUAUAAGGUUCUAAGCACAAAUAAAUUUAGUUUGUGUAUGAUUUCGUAAGGUUACAUGCAUAUUUAAGUAAAUCUCAUAUUUUUAGACGUAUUUUUUAUAAGGCUUUAGAGAAGGAGUAUUUUUGGAAAGUGGUAUGAAAAAUGAGUGUUUUUUCUUUUAAUAUCCACUCAUAAGUGUGGGUUUUUACAUCCGUAGUUUUCUUAUAAGUUACAUAAACUGAAUUAGGUUGAUGAGAUAAUACUUUUAGUGUCUUUUAAUCAUUUUAAUGAAUUUCUAAGUUUUGGCUAAGCAGUUUAUCCCAAAGUUUUUUUUUCUUAUUAAUUGAUAACUAAAUGAUUAUUUUAUAUUAAUUACAAAAAGUGUUACCUUUAAAUGUAUUAUAUUUGUCUUAAAUAAACGAUAAAUUUAAAUCAAAUUCAUUGUAGCUAAUCGUACAUAUAUAUAUAUAUAUAUAUAUAAUAUUUGAAAAGAUGAAACAUAUUCUAUUAGCAUAUUAUUUAAUGUUUAUAUUCAAAGAAAAGUUAAUAUUGAACUAUAGUUUUAUUGAUUUUAUGUUUAUAUAUGCAAUUAAUGUCAUAUAUCAAUUACUUAGAUAAGUAAUAACAAAUACAUGAUUUUUUCUAACUAAAAUAAAUAAAUAAUUAAUAAGGCAUAGUGAUGUGUCAAGCUGUUGAGAGCACCAUUCAACUAUUAAUCUACUAUAUACAAUUGGAUUUAUAACAACACAUUCAUGUUUAGGUUAAAUAUUAAUUAAUCAUGAUUGUAAAUAAUGGUAUCUCUAAAAUAAUCUAUACAAUCUACACUUUUAUGUGUAAUAUUCUUUUUAGUUGGUGUAAGUUAAUUGAUACAAUAUAAACAUAUGAUGUUUUUGUUCUAAAAUUAUUUGAAUCCAAGAAAGUCUAAUAAUAAUAAUUCUUAUGUCGUAAGUCGUAAAUAAGAUUUACUAUUGUUUGUUUCUAUCAUGUUCCAUAUACAUUAUCCUAUAUUAAAAAAUACACAACAGAAAAUGAUUAAAUAGUUCUUUUUAUAUUUUUCAAAAACAAAUAUAUUUAAUGGAACAUUUGAUUUGCCUAUUUUUUUCAAGAAAUAUUUUUAUUAGGAUAAUAUAAUACUAGUCAUGUUUUUAAGUUAUAAAGUAUAUAAAAAAUUGACUAUCUUUUCUCUCUUGACUCUUAAUUAUUAUUGUUAGAUGAAUGUUAAUAAAUUUAAUUAUAUAAUUCAUUUAUUUUUUUUGUCGCCAUUAUUCAUUUAGUUUAGAAAAUUUUAUGUGUACAGUGAUAAUUUUAUUUGUAUUCAUUAACAAUAUAUGUAUAUAUGUACAUACAAUGGAAAACAAUAUGUAUAUAUAUAUAUAUAUAUAUAUAUAUAUAUAUAUAUAUAUAUAUAUCCAUAAAUGAUAUCUUUAUUAAAAAUAUAUAUAAUUUAGAGUUCUUUAAUGGCAUGAAUGAUAAAAAUGAAACAUUAAUAUUGUACUAAAAAUGAUAUUUAAUUAUUAAUAUAUGUUUCUAAAAUUAUAUAAUACAAUUUUUGGUUCCCACUUUCAAAACUUAACAAUAAAAAUAAUAAUUUUUAUUAUAUAAUUUAUUAUAACUUUAACUGAGCUCUCCAUUUUUAUUAAAGACUUAGUUAUUACAAUUACAAUAAAUGGUAGUACAAGGAAACGUCCCAAAUCUGACGACUAUUUUUAUAAAAAUACAUAAUCUGAAAUUUCUCAAUAGUAUUAGGAAACUAUUAAUAUCUACUAACAUUUUAGAAUAGAUUAAAUAUGUAGUAUUUGAUGAUAUUUAAUACACGUGGAAAAACACAUAUACUAGGCUAAUCCUUCAUGAAUAUUAAUAGUAUAACAUUUAUAACAUUGUAAUAAUUUUUUUUAAAAUGAUAUAAUCUGUAUCAGAAAAUAUGUAUAUAUAGAGUAAAAGCUCUAUAAAUUGAUAAGGUUGGAAUUAUUAUAUUUUAUUAAUUUGUAAAGUUAUUGAUUUAUCGGAAUAUUUAUUUCUCCAAAUAAUCCCGUAAGAAUGUACUGAUUUACCGAAGUGUUAAUUUAUAGAGGUUGAUUCGUAUUAUUAAUAAAGAGGGAUAUAUAAAUGUGAAGUGGAACUUAAACACUUUAAAUGAAACAAGAAAAUCUCUUUUUUAACAUAAAUAAUAUCACAAAGGAAAAGAAAUACAUUGUAUUACGAAUUAAAUCGAAAAACGCAAAUAUUAUUAAUAAUAAAUAGGAUUACAUGUGAAGAGAUAAAUCAAGUCCCCAGUCUCUAGUAUCAUUCAUAAUUGAACUGUUUUCUCCCAGUUUUGAAGUAAGAUUUACCGAUGAGUAGUGGUCACGACUUCCAAUGGUUGAAAUGAGAUUCCUAGUAUACAACUCCGGGAUAUGAGCAGCAUUGCCACGAACAAGAUUUAGUGAUAAAUCACGUAAAAAUGAGGUUGAAUGACAUGAUGGAGGAGGGGAAUCAAAACUCAUGGUCAAACAACCAUGUUUAGAACUGUAACGAACGUUCUUAAAUGGUUCCACAUCUGGUUUGGGUAGAGAAACAUCAAAGAAACAACCAUUAGUAGUAUGAACGUUAUUGAAAGACAAGUUAUUCAAAGAUCGACCAACUUGUGAAAAUCCAGGGCAUCGAUCAAGGUGGAAGAGGCUAGAAUGCUCCUUCUCCAUUGCCUUAAACUCUAUAUUGUGAGAAAAUAUGUUUGUGAGAAAAUAACUCAAUAUAGAUUGCUUUUAUAAAGGUUUUUUUCAGACAAUAACACAUUUGAUGAGAGAAAGACUAUCUCCUAUUUGUUAGUCUCAAGAAAUAAGCGGUCUUAAUUAAGCUUAGCAUUUUUGGUAUAAUAUCUUUGGGGUUUAACAAUCAAAUUAAUUUCGUGAAACUGGCAAAAGUUAUUAUGAAAUUAUAUAGAAAAAAAUAAGGCUGAAUAUUAACUCUCUUCCUUAAAAUGAUAUUUUAUGUGCUAGUAUUAAUUUUAUAAUGUUUGGUAAUAUUAAAUGUACAGCUAAUUAUUACUCAGUUAUUGAUUUAUAUGAGUCAUAAUACUCAAUUAUUAUUGAUUACAUGUUAUAAAUGAGUCAGUCACAUAAAUUAAUAAUGAUAGUUGUUAAAAGAAAAUACAAAUUAAUAAUGAUACAUUUAUGUUGUUUAUUUUAGUGAAGAUAGGACAAAAUCUUAGAUUUAAAGUUCCUGUGCCUUGGGAAAAUAUUAGUAACCCAAAAUCAUUUAUUAGUUGAGAAAAAGUUGUUUGUUCUUAGACAUUAAAAUUCAAUCUUCCAAAAAACCAAUAAUUCAAAUAUUGAAACAAUCCGACCCAUUUUCUCUUUUAAAAUUAAGAACUGCAUACUAAUUAAUUACCAACAUCAACAAACAAAAUGGUCCUAAAGUUUUUAAAGUUUUGUUUGAUUUUCGGAUAAAAUGGUCAAGUUUCAUUGGCUUGGCUAUUUCGGGCAUGACGUUAAACAUUCACAAUAAUGACAUACUGUUUAUAUUUUGUUAUCUAAUAAAUGUAAUCUCUCUUAGUUUUUGAUAUAUUAGUCGUAAAAUAUCACUCAUUGCUUUGUUUCAUAAUUUUUUUUUGUAUUUCAUAUUUGUCUUAGUUUUGUUAUUUUAAAUAAUAAUUAUUGUAUUUAAUAUUUUUUUAGUUUUAUAUUUAAUAAUCAUUAUUGUAUUUAAUCGUAAUUAUUGAACUUAAUAUUCUUUUUUUUUUUUUAAAACCGAUUCAUUCAUUGAUUUCAAAUCGAAUACAUGAGUUGAUACAAUGGUAAUACAUCAAUAGAAAACAAAUACAAAGGUACAUCUAUGCAUUUAUAACCACAUAUUAGAAAGAACGAUGAAGAAGCGAAUUUCCACGAUGCUUUGGAUACCGAAGCCUUACUCGCCAACAGGUUGAUAAACCCAUUUCUUUCCUUCUCCAGAAUCAAUCCCAAAUUUAUGAAAUCGUCGUUCUUGGCUAUCAUCUCUUGGAUGAAACUCCAUAAUCGUCUAAUGCUAAUGAUGCUACUCAAUAUCUUCUCUUGCACCAAACCAUUGAUUCCCCAUAAGUAUGCUAUACCCGGAUCCCAUAUUCGUUGAUCAACACACCAUAUAACUCUUCGGGAUCGAGUAUCAAACAAUUCCACUGUUUGGAAUCUUUGAUAUCAGGCAUCAUAAAGGAACAAAAAAUCCUUCACGGAAAUAGCAAAUUUGUCAUGAGUAGAAUCAAUGCAUAGACACAAUCCGAUGACAAACCAUGAAUGAAACGCCUCCAUAAUCGGAGGAAACUGCCGGAAACGGAAUCGUUCCCACUUAUCAACAAAGGAGAUCCCAACCGAGACUCCAAAAACUAAUUGCUUAGAUAGAUGUAUAUUAUUCCUUUUUGGCUUCAGAAACUGCAUUGACAAAAACAGAAGAUGAUAAAUGAUGGUCUCCGAUGAAAGUUCGAUCGCAAAUUCCGUCACCAACAAAAGAAAGAGAAUAGAUCGGUUUAAAAUCUCUCUCAAAAGAACAACACCCAUCGUAGAUUAUUGUAGAAUAAUAAUAUGAAACUGAAAUUAAAAAAUAUACAGAGCCACCGGCAAAAGCCGGGGCCUAAAAGCGGUGAUGACGGUUUUGAUGUCUCCUUAUUGAUCGCCUAGUGGGGAGAGAAAGUUAAUUAUUGAACUUAAUAUUCUUUUAAUUUUAUAUCUUAUCAUAAAUUAUUAUUUAAUGAAUAAAUACUUUUUAUUUUUGAUUAAUUGCAUAUAUACAUACAUUUAUGUGUAUAUAUAUGUGUAUAUGUAUUGUUUGUUUGUAAAAAUUUAACGUCAUGUCCGAAAUGGCCAGGUCAAUGAAACUUGACCAUUUUAUUCGAAAGUCACAAAACUUUAGGAUUUAAAUGACAUUUCGAAAGUUCAUAUUUUUCGUCUACAAUUUGAAAAUUGGGGAUUUUUUUGACAUUUUUCCAAUAUAUUAAUCUAACAAUAAACCAACAAUUUAACAAACCAACAAAUCAAUCUCGGAUAACCCGUAAUCCUAACAUGUUCCUAAUCGAAUCAGCAAAGAGUUAAAUAACAUAAACCAACACCAUAUAAACUUGAGAUCCUAGAUCAUAUUCCUCUUUAUCGCCACGAUAUAACUAUCACACAUUAUCUUUACUUGCACCAUGCAUAAUGAGUUGUGUGAAUAUUAUCACAAAUUAUUCAGUAACAUGGUCCCCCAUCUGCUAGGUUAUACACUAACGAGAUAGAAAUCAAUGAUACUCAACAAACACCAAAACACAGGCAAACCAAACAUGAAACUGUCAACUCUCAGCCGGACCUAAUGUCGAUCGACACCCCUCCCAGUGUCGUACGAUAUCUACAUAGUGUUGAUCAACACUCAUCUCACAGAACCCUUAAAUCGCCUCUUGUCAUGCUAACCACAAACAAACCAAACACGAAAACAAGCCUAACACAACAAGGAAAACACACAAGCAGCCACAAAGACAAAUCCCAAAUUCACCUACACAAUCAAAAUAAGCAUCAGAACACUCCAUCAAGCUUAGAUCAGUGAUCAUACAAUCACCUCUGAUUUGGAUGUUAAAUGCUGAAGAAGACCAUCUGCUAACACACAACAACCUCACAGUAAUUCUGACAACUACUGAUCUCUUCGUUUUCCCUUUAACAACACCAAAACUAGCCAUUAUGCCCAUCUUAACCCUUCUCAAAACUCUCAUUUUCUCUUUCGAUAUCCAACAAGUCGAUCACUAUUUUUCUCUCUCUAGAAACGACAAAACACCAGUAAGGAAAAAAUAUAUCUCCAGUGUUUAGAAAAGACUUAGGGGGGUGUAUUCAAAGUUGAAUUUCAAGUGAUUUGUAAAAAAUUUACAAAUCAUGUGUUAUUCAAUCAAGAAUUUUAAAAAGUCUCAUGAAAUCCAAUGUUAUUGAACUAAUCAUUUUGAAAGGAUUUUACAUAAAUCAAAUGAAGUUCCCUAAAAUCAUCAAAAUUUCAAUAAAACUCAAAUCUCUUAAAAUGCUACUUUGAAUACAUCCCCCUUAGGGUUUUCGACGAUAUUUUUCAAAAAAAUUAUGUACCUUUUGCCGAGAUGCGUGUUUCAUUAGAAGUUUCCAACAAAAAAAGUCGACAAAUUUUGAUUUUGAUUUUGACGAAUUCCAGAUAAUGUAACAUUAUUUUGGAAAUACGACAAAAUUUAGUUAGAACUAUGUCAAAAGUUUCUGACAACUAUUAGCUUAUCUAACUGAGAUAACUAAUCAAUUAGUACAAUACAAACACCAAAAAAAAUCUAACUUACUUCAAGCUUCCAUACUCAAAAACUCAAAACAUAAACAUGUGAACCAAAACCAUCACCACAACACACCCAAUCAUAUUCAUCAAGCUAAAAAGAUCCAUUUUUCACUCUCAUCCAUGUAACCCAGAGUGAUUACUGCUUUCAAACUAUUUGCCAUAUCAAUUUCAAGCAACUUACUUUAUUCCCAAACAUCCCUCUCGUUUAGGCUUGCGUAUAUAUGUCCAGGCUAUUUUAUGGAAAUUCACAAAUACCUCUUAGCUCAAGUUAUUCACAUCAGUAAACUCUGACUUGUCCAUCAAUACCUUUGGAUGCAUAAUAUAAUGUUAUGAUUGUAUUCAAUAAAUCUUGACCAUUUAGUUUUGAGUUCUAACAUUGUUUGAUAUUUUUUUUAAUUAGUCAAUUUGGUUAUUUGAUUAUAGCUUAUUGUACAAGUCACAGUCAUAAUCUCAUUAAGCUCAUUGAUCGAGUCAUUCGCAAUCGCGCUUAUGCUCACUCGUUUUCAACAAACUCUCAGCGAGGGGAUACUUUCCGCAUUUGGUUUGCGUCGUGAUACUAAUCGUAUCCACCUUUUUCUGAUUUUAGCACAAACUAUCAACUCUUUUUUCAAUUUAAGGUUGCAUAUAUCGUAAGAACAAGUUUUUUUGGUUGAAUAUAAUUUUACAUUCAUUCAAAAACAAAGUCAUAUAGUCAUAAUCAUGUUUCUAAGGCUCACAUUCUCUUUAUUUGUAAUAUAGAAUUAAAUUUGAAAGAAAAUAGGAAUAAACAACAAUCUAUUCUAACAAUAAUUCAUCGGACACGUUUCUCUAACCAAGAAACACACAACAUAUUUCAGUUUGGGCUUCUAUAGUUGUAUAUCAUUGAGAGUGUUAUCUUUGGUCAUUCAUACUUUAAAUGGAAGAUUUGUAAAAUCAGAAUUUGACUAGUUUUGUUAGGAAAGUAAUCUCUUGAAUCGAUGAGUGAAGAACACCGGUUCCUUAGUCAAUGGGCUUUACUAUUGUACUUAUUUAUUUCCUAAAAACACCAAUUUAAUUCAGAAAUGGUAGAACACUCAUGACUCAUGAGAUAAUACACAUUAGAAAGAUAAAAUUUCAGGAAACAAAUUAUAUUAAAAAACUCAACUAAAACACAAUUACAUGUGAAUAUAGAAGAAGAGAUUUGAUACAAAGAAAUGAACAUUUAAAAUGAAAUACUAUGACUUAAAAAAAGAUAAAAACAAACUCCAUACAUAGCUGUGGUGGAUAUAUCAAACUAACAUGAAAAAAAAAACUAAAUAACGCAUAGAACUAUAAGAGAUACUCAAAGGGAUAGAGUCAAAUCAAUGUCAUUUUCCUCUUGUGGCUCAUCAUCAUCAAUCUCCACAACAUUGUUUCUUCCAAUCAGCGAGAUGAAGUCCCUUUCUCUCAAAACAUUCUCUUGAGGAACCACAUCUCUAGAAAGAUUGGUGGUUUGAGGAGGAGAAAAAGGGAAAACGUUUCUUGAAGUCAAUGGACAAUGCCUUUUUGGUAGGGGAGGAUUAGGGAACAUUGAAGCAAAACCAUUGGUACUCGAGUUUCCGGGGAAGAAACGAGUAGGAGUCACACGAGGAACCACGGCCAUGUUCAUAUCCGCGAUUCCUCCAGUGACUCCACCAUUGAAAGAUGGGUAAACUAGACGUUUAAAAGGAUCAAGAGUGAUACCAAGAUGGUUUUCAUUUGAUAAAGCAUCUUGUGAAUACCCACCUAAGAGAAGGUGAGGCUUAUCAAGAUAAGGGUUCAAGAAAGCGAGCCCGGGGAAGUCUGCUUCCAUCUCCUUCCUCUUCUUGUCCCAUUCCCUCUCUUGCUUGUGUGCGUUCUGGUGACCACCAAGGGCUUGAGAGGUGGAGAACCCUUUCUUGCAAAAAUGACAAGCGUAGACCUUGUUCGAUUUCGACGGGUAAAGCUUCAUGAUCUCUCUUCCUCUUCGGACAGGACCAGAUCCAAAACAAGGGUUCUCCAUCCUCUUCUCAGAGGUAACCUCCUCUUGAGGAGAACCAAGUUUCAGAUUGGUGUCCCUUGUUUCCCUCUCCUUGGACUCCUCCAUGACCACCAAAAUGCUCUUGAGCUUUUCUGGCUUGGGUGUGGAGGAGCUUGAAGAAGACGUAGCUUGGUUCUCCAUUACAAAUCUUUUUAUUCUUUCUUUAGACUUUAGAUUGAGACAAGUGAUCUUUAUCUCGUCUGUGUUAGAUUCAGAGAAAUGAGGAAGCUAUUUAUUGAGAAAGUAACCUUAAUGUUCGUGAACUAUUAUGGUAUAAUAUCUCCCUAGGGGCCAAAUUAAUUAAAAUCAGGAAGUACCAGACUUCAUAUCAAAAAGUUGUGUGGUUGUUUCUUUAACAAUGUUGAUUGUACUCCUUUUGACUAACCAAAUGAUAUUUUGUGUGAAAUAUGUAAAUAAUAUCUUAGCUGUAUUACCUGGUAUACAACUCUAAUUUGAAUCCAUUAAUUUGAAGUUAAUUUUUUAACAAUUGUAGCUUACUCUUAUCUUUGACUCUCACUUUUUAACAAUUGUAGUCCAACUAUCUUAUUACAGAAAUUAGCGCGCGAAGAUAGCCCGCGAAGAUUCAUUUAAAAAACCGUUAUAAACUACUAAAUUUUAUCUAAAAUCUCGUGUUUAAUUUUUGUGUGUUUAAAAAAUAUCUAAAUUCAUUGAAUUAUAAUAGAUAAUAAUUACUAAGCCAACUAGUCAAACUAGCAUCUUUCACUAGUAUGGAAGGAUGAUGUAUUCUUCACUAAUUGCAAAUACAAAAACAAAUUACAUUCUACUAAGGAAUACUAAACUUGGAAUGUGUUUCAUUAACAUUAAACUUAGACAGCUUGUGUGAUUGACUAGAGUUGUUUCUUCCUCAUUUCUUUAAUUAGUUUUUUGGUCUUAAUCUAAUUUUUCUUUCUCUUGGGGGAAAAAUACUCAAAAAGGAAACAUAAUGACAAAAAUGGUCUAUGAACUGUAAAUAAUAACAAUUUUAUUCCUUAUAAAUUUAUUUUCAAAUAUAUAUAGUCAGAAAAAUAAAGCUUGAAUACCUUUAGUGCCAAUUUUUACUUAAAUGAGACUACUCAAAUAUUUGGUAGAAAAUAUCCAAGAUAUACAUUCAUGAUUACUGACGUAUUACCACAUAAUAUGUAUUAUUAUUUUUUAAUCAGUUUUAAUAUUUUUCCAGAUUGUAAGUCUGUAAUUUAAAUACCAAAUGAUUUCUACUUAGGCUUACAUACGAAGAUGAAAAAAAAUAUAGUGGAGUAAUUAAUUAUUUCAAUGAUCAGUAAAUCUGUAUCUACUAGGAAGAGAUUUAUCGAAAAACACUAUUUGAGAGAUCUUAAGAGUACCUUAAUUUUAAGUGAAAAUAAAGCUUACCUUUAUGUCUAGAUAUUGUAAUUUGUGAGCCUUACUACUUACUUCAUUAAUCUAUUUUCUACUAAUUAUUAAUAAUACUUGUAAGAUUUUCUUAUAUAUAAUAUCUUCAUAUGUCUAGCAAUGCUUAUAUUUACCAAAUAUAUUGUUUUUAAGUUACUUUUGUGAAACUAUGACUUCACAUUUUAUAAAACUAUAACCAAAAAUCUAAAAUAUUUUUACAUAUGAAAGAUUUCAGACUACCAAAAAGUCAUGAUAGGUUGCACAUAACCAUAUAUUGUCGUAUUUAUCUUAAUAUUGCGUAUAGAGGGUACGCACUUGGUAUUGUCUCUAAAACAAAUCUUCUUGGAGCCAAACCAUCAUCAUAUUCCAAUUGAGCAAAGCCUGAACUAUAGCUUUGUAGAUAGAACCAUAGGCUUAUUAAAAUUAUUUAGCCGUUAUACAUACGACCUGGCCGCUCAUAUAUAUAUAUGAUACACAAUUUUGCAAAAUCCAUGUAAGAAUCGCUUAUAGAUGAUUGGUACGUAAGAUUUUACUUCCUUCAUACUCGAAUAUGCAACUAUAUAAAUGUGUGGCUCAUAUUGGGUUUUUCUCCAGUCACUUGGUUCGGUGCAUGGUCAGUAAUAAGGAUCACUCAACGUGGAAAUAGUAUAUAAGAUACUUUCCUAUGUUAAUCUUACCUCUAAGAUAUCCUUGUUGAAGAUGCCCUAAUAUCGUAGAAAACCAAGAGACAUGCUACUAUUAAUCCAUUCUCAACUAAAGAUGAUUAUCGAGCAAUGAGCGCAAUAUCCUCAAACUUGAUUUGGUUAAAGGUUAUAUACAUCAUAGUAAGUUAGAUGAGACACAUUAACCAUUGUUGGUUUGCAAAUAGUUAUGAAACUCACAUUGCAAAUAAUUUCUUACCAUUGAAAAGACCAAACAUAUAUCACACUAUACAUUAAAAGGAAAUGACCUCAAGAAAUAUUGUAAGACAUCAAUAUUUUCUAUUGUAAAUAAGUUUGGACUUCCUCUUCUCUAACACAACAAUAUUUAUUAAGACUAUCUCCCGUCUUUUUACCAAAAAAAAAAAAAAAAACAAUAUUUAUUAAGUGUGAUUCGGUUUCAUUUGGUUUCCUCUCUUUUGCAUUUCUAUCGUCAACAAGUUUUGUAUAAACUUGAGUGUGGUAUAUCACAAAAUAACUUUCAAAAUGUUAUCCAUAUUUAUAUUAUUUCAUGUCGAAUAAUUUUUUUUUUUUGACGUUAUCAAAUAACUUAUUAUUAUGGACUUUUUUUAAAUAAAAUAAUAGAAUCCUUUAUACUAUAAAGCACAAGUCACUUGUCCAAUAAAAUUUAGCCACAUCAGAUUUUAUUUUUAAAAAAAAUUAAAAAAAAAAUUCUCAAACAAACUAAAACACACGAUCAAUGAAAAAAAAACUAAUCCCUAAUUUUUCUCCCUCAAUCACAAGUUAUUUGGCAAUUAAUAAAAUUAAAAGAAUUAAUUUGGAAAACUAAAACAAAAAUAAAUUAGUAACAACCAAAAAAAAAAAAAACACGUUCUAAACAACUUCCUAAAUUUCAGAUUUUUACAACCUUUCUCAUACCUCCACGAUCACCAUUUAGGAGCAAUCUCGGAUAACCACCUCUGUUCUAUCAUUUAUAUUUCUGUGAUUCAUGUCAAUUGAUCCACACAAAAAAAAACGCAAGAUUUCUUCUCAAGCAGUCAAGCCCACAUAAAAAAAAAAAAAUCUUAUGUUGGCAUUGAACGUUUAUUCUCUAAGGUAAACUACUAAUUCAUUUCAUAUUUCUUGACUUUUAUAUUACUCAAUUCUUCUAAAUGUCACUCUAUUCUACUUCUUCUAUACUACGACACCUAUAUUUAACAUGCAAAUGUUUUCUUAGAUCAGAAAACUAAUUAAGGUUUAGUUCUUUUUCCAGAAUCUAAAUUAGAGAGGCAAAAGGAGUCAUGAUAAAACAUAUUAAGGUUUUUCUUUUUCUAUCUCUCAUAUUACCCUCUAAAAUCUCUGUUUUAUUCAUGUACCCUUUUUAUGUUUCAAGAAAUCCUCCAUGGCUAACAAAUGAUGAUCUUUAACUGAUGCAGGUUUUAAAAUUUGAUGGUAAGACUUUCAAAAGAUGACAAAGAACCCAACACUUCACCUAGGAAACAUUUCAUCAAGAAAAUUGCAUAAUAUGUAGAUGGAAUUAUAUGUAAGAAUGGCAUUCUACUACUUAAUUAGAUAAUUUGUAACCAUUGUAGUCUCGGUUAAACUGAUACGUUCAAAUGUUUUAAAUCGUUGUUUAAAAUAUUGCAACAAAAUAGUUUUAUAUUUUAAAUAUAUUAAUUCAAACUUAUGCUUAUAUAUCACAUAAAAUCACAGACAUUUGUUUAUUCAACCAACACACAGGAGAAUGAUACAAAUACAUUGAUGAUAUGUUGAAAAGAGCAGCAGUAAAAAAUAUAUUUUUGUAAAAUUAAACUAAAAGAUUUCUUUGCCUUAUAUUUCUUAAAUAACAUUUUGGGUUGAUUAUAAACUUAAAAGUUUUAGACCUUCAGUUUAUAUUUUAUGAUAAAAAUAGAAUAAUACUACAUUUAAUUUUAGGAAUAUUUCCUUAUUUAUAAAGUAUUCAAAAGAAAUAUAAUUUUACUAUAUAUUUUUAUUUAUUUUUAUAUGAAUUAUUUAAUUAAAAAGAUAAUUCCGUGCGUAUGCACGGGAUAAAUUCUAGUUUGAUUUAUAAAGAAGAAACAAACAUUUCAAAACAAAAUGCGGUUAAUUAAUUGGUUAUAUAAUAUGUACGUAGUCAAAACAUUUUUUGUAAUAUUUCUUUUAUACCCAAUCAUAUUUGAAAUUAUGUUAAGAUAUAUCCAUAUACAAUCACUUUAGUGCACCCAAUAUUAUAGAGAAAAUUAUACAAUUAUUAAUAAAUUAACAAAAUAGUUGAAAAUAUAAAUAGUACACUACCUUAUUUUAAAAGAUGCAUCAUAUACUUUCGAGUUAGUAUUUUUUUAAAAUUUGUCUCAAAAGAAAACCACAUAUCUGUAUGUGUCUCUAAUUCUUAAGCCAAACGAUCUUCCCGCCAAACCUCAUAAAACAAAGCAAACCAAAACUAUGAAACUCUCUUUAUCUAAUCAUAAACAAAACUAUUCUUGUAAAUAUUUCCAAAAUUAUGCAGAAUUCUCAAUCCUAAAGAGGCUACGUAAGCUUCAAAACAUCAAACAGCUCUUCCCAAAAAAAUAAAUAAAGGAGCUGUUCAAUUUAUAUUUUUCUUUUAUAAACCAAAAAAAAAACAAAAAAAAACAAAACUUAGAAAAACAAAAAACAGAAAAAAAAAAAAAAA